UCUUUUUUUUUUUUUUUUUGUCGAAACGAUAGUUCCAUUCCAUUCCAUUCCAUAAAGUGACAGAAAGUGCUAUGCAUGCGAUAAAAAUGGCUAGUUAGGGACAUAAUAGACUUUUCUCACUGCUGACCAGGGAUAUAAUCGACUUUUCAAGCUGUCUUUUUGCUUGAUGUAUAUAUAUACACACACACACAUGAUUUUUAACUUCCCAAACGUAUCUAGAUCUGUAAAAUUCUCCCACAAAAAUCUGAAAUGGACUGAGUCCCAAACGUCUUGCUGAAUCCGAAGCAUCAAUCUUACUGAAGUCAAAGAUGGCAUGUGUAAUCAGAGAGAAAUAGAAAAAAGUCGACCCAUAUGAGAUAUUCGAUCGAUAACUCCACCAAUUUUUAUACUCGUGUGGCACUGUCUUCAUUGUGCUUGUAUGUGCAUGUACAUAGUAAAUUCAUUUAAGCCGUCAUUGGCAAUGAGAACUUUACUAUAAAAAUGAACGGUGGUGGUGGUUAUUUUCGAAAUGGAAAAAGAAGAGAAUUGAGGGGAGACAGUGAUACAAUGGCAUUUUGUAAAUUCAUCAGUACGUUUAAAGUUGUGGUCGUGUGUUUUAUAUUGCUAGUGAUUCCACAGUUCUUGGAGACAAAUGAAGUCAUAAUGAAUGCAAUAAAAAAAAGCUAGUUCCGUGAUAGAGUCUUUGAAUAGGACUGGAUGCUUAAUUGGUGAUGGUAAUAAUGCUUCAUGUUUUUAACGUGCUGAAUGGAAGAGUGUAGAAGAUAACAAGAACAGAAAUGAUGAUGCUAGAUUUGUAGGCAAUGAGAAUUAUGCCAAUGAUGAUACAAGUACACUCCAGCUCAACAAAAUGCAAGGAACAAGUUUAUGACUGCAGAUUGGGUGGCUGGUAGAUACAUAAACUAUAGAUGAAGACUACCAUGUUGAAAUUACUAAGUCCAAGGCAUAUAAAACUUGGGCAAAGGCAGUAAUAAUGAUUAAUGGAUCGUAUGUACAGAAGUGUGAGUGUAUUGUACAGAGUUAGAUAGAACAUAUCUAAAUACCACAACCAAAAUUGAAUUCACUCCAAGCGAAAAUGGCAGUAAUCCAAGAUUCGCUAGGUUGUACUGUUGCUUGGGACCUUUAAAAGAGGUUUUCUAGAGGCAUGUAUGUAGAUCCAUCAUUGGAGUUGCUGAAUGCCACCUAAAAGGGCUUUUUCCAGAGCAGCUAUUGACAACAAUUGUGACUAAUGUUGACUAGUUUUUUGAUCAAUUGCAUUACGCUGUUGUUUUAAAGGGAGGCAACAAAGCAAUACAAGUGGUUCUUGAGACUUCUCAAGCAAGAUCUGAAUGUUGAUAACUAGUUUCAUUGAACAUUUAAUUCUCAUUAGCAAAAAGUAAUUGUAUUAAUUUUUGGUAAUUGCUUAUCAUGAUGAAUUGUACUAGCUAAAAUAUGUAAUAAAUUGUAGGAGUUGAAUACUAUAUUUGCUGAGGUUUUGCCUGACUAUGAACACAGAUAUUGUGUACAACAAAUGUUCAACUUUAUUGCACAUGUAACAAGAUAGACUGGAGCAGGUUUAAUUGAUGUUCAAAUUGCUAUUAGUUCGAAGGCCGCUAUUUCUGAAGCAGGUUCAAGUUUUUCGCGACCUAUUGUAGCUACUUCUAGAGUUGAAAGAUCACAAAUUUUCAAUAGUGUAGCAAGCCAAAGUGCUGCUCAAAGCAGGAGUGUUUCAGGUUCCUUUCAAGCUGGAAAAUCUAUUGCUCAAAUUCAUAAAGUUUCAAGAAGUCAUAAGAGAGCUACAAAAAUGUCUCCUAUAUUGGAUUUUCACGAUGCUUGAUUGAGAAAAGAUACGCCACUCUAUAGUCGAGCAGGAAAGGGAAAAAGGUCAAAAAAGAAAGUAGAUAAUGUGAUUUGCUACUAUUGUUGGUUUCUAGUUUUCGGAAGUUGACUACUACUUUGUGUAGUUUUCUGGUUUCUAACUUUUUGCAAUUGGCUACUAGUCCUUUAUUGAUGGAUGCUACUAUUUUGACAACAUAUGAACUAUGACUCCUCAUUUUUUUUUUGUCAUUGGCAUUUGUUUUAUAAUUUGUAUGAAGCAAAGUGUCAAUUUAGCAUGUAUAUUCUGAAUAUAACUUAUGAAAUCUGAUCUAGUUAGAUCAACCUUUUAGUGUUUGAACCAUUUUUGUUAUUUGAAUGAAUCUAGAAUUUUGCAUCCUUUUUAAUAAGUAUUGAAGACUUAAGUUGAUUAAUCAUUGAUUUUGAUGAUACGAAACAAAUUGAUGAUUUAGACUAAUUGUUUUAUAUGAGACAGUGUCUAGAACAUAUAUCAAGUCUAAAAGAAUGAGGAAAAGAUUUGAAACAAAUGAAGCAAAAAACUGCUCAAGGUUUCGGAUGCGAGCAUCAAAGUAUCGAACAUUCGAUAAUCAACGAGAAAAUUUCAAAUAAAAACUAUCAGACACUUUACAAGAGUAUAGGACGUCUGAUAAUCAAAAAGAUCUAUUGAACAGUCAUAUCGGACACAGACUUCAUGGAUUGGCCAUCCAAUGAAUUUUAAGGGAACAUCUCAAUAUUCAGAUCUCUGUCGGACGCAAGACCUAUGGGAUGCAAAAAUUCCAUCGGUCGUCCGAUAAGAACUGAGAAUAUACUGCCGGACACACACAUCAGUGGAUCGGACGUUCGAUACUCCUAACGGCUAGUUUUUUAAUAGCUAAAUUUUUUAAUGAAAAAACUUUCAAGAGUGGUAGUUGAUUAUUUAUAGGUGUGGAAAAGUUGGAUUUGUGUGGUUUCUCAAAAAAAAAACUAAAACCUUGUGAAGGUGAGUCUCACUUGUAUAAUAGCUCUUGGUUGGUUGGUUAGUUGGCAAUCAAUUGUAACAAAAUAAAGGUUUACUAGAGGAGUUGUAAAACUCUUGGUCUCAACUAAAGAAUAUUUCGGGUGAGUAAAGAAUGAUCUUUCUUAUGUACAAGGUGGUUUGCAACACCAUCAAUUGAAGAGGCUAUUGGAUUGAAUUUGACUUCAAGUUUGGAAGGAACUUGAAAGUUUUGGUUUGGAUUUUUAUCUCUUUAUUUUCAUUUUUGAUACUUAAAUGUGCAAUCUUUAUUGCUCUACAUUUGUUUUAUAAUUGUGAAUUUGUGCAAUUAGUUUGAGUGUUUUUAUUGGGUGAAAACUUAUUUUAUUUGCUUGGUUUGUGUGAUCAACCUAAUUCACCCUCUCUUAAGUUGUCUUUGGGCCUUACAAUUGGUAUUAGAGUUUGAUCUCUUAGAGAUUAAACUCAACCGAUUUAGGAGAAAAGAUCAUUAUGGCAACCAAUUUUGUGUUAGGAAGAUCCAUAAAGGAACCACCAAUUUUUUACGGUAAAAAUUAUGAUGUGUGGAAAAAUAUGAUAAAAGCCUUUUUUAAAUCUAUUGAUUUUGAUUUGUGGUAUAUUAUUGUGAAUGGUCCUCAUAAAAUUUUAAUCACAAGGAAGGAAAAACCUAGAGAAAAAACUAAAAAAGAGUUAAAUGAAAAUGUUAAGUGGAUGUUGGCUCAAAACAUACAAGUUAUGGAAAAUUUUUAUGGAGUUUUGGAUGGAAAUGAAUUAAAAAGAAUAAAGUAUUGUAAAAAUGUUCAAGAGAUUUGGAGAAAAUUAGAAAAAUUCCAUGAGAAUAAAAAUCUUACUUUUCGAGAAGAAAAGAAAGAAAAUUCAACUCCAAAUUUUAAUGAGACAGAGAAUAUAAAUGAUUUAAUGGUAGAAAAGAUUGUUAAAACUUUGCAUGAAAAGUUAAAAAAAAAAGCUAAUGAAUUGAAUAAGACAUUAAAAUCUCAAUUGAUUGAAUGUACUUUAGAGAAGAUUCAAAUUAGAGAUGAAAAUGUAAAUUUAAAACUCACCAUUAAUAAGUUUAUUAAGUGAAGAAAAACAACAUUAUUCAAACUUUUUUUUUUUUGUAAUACACGAAAUAUGAAUUUUUUCCAUUACACCUCGAAGUGUUACAUGAAUUUUUUAUCUUACUAAUGACAGUAGUCCUUUUGAAAGACCCAUGGAGCCACAUUUUAGGUGUUUUAAUUUCACAAAAGAAGUUGGAGAACUCAAAUGGAACCAAAAAAAAAAAAAGGAAAAUUAUCAAACUCAAUUCCGCAAUUGGUGCCCUUUUAGUUAUGUAUAUUAAUUAAAAUGUUGAUUUUGUUCCACAUAACGGAUUUUCUUGUCCCACUUUUUCGGGCAAAUUAAUCUCUUCACUUCUUCUUCUUCUUCUUUAUUAUAUGUUGUUGCUGUUACUAUGUUGCGUUCCAAGUUGAUCAAAGGAUUUGAUAUUUUCAGUUUUCACUAAGAAUAUUUUGUGUUGGUGAGGAAAGGACAGGCAAAAACAUUAAAUAUGCAAUUCUAAAAGAAUUUUAUUUUUGUCUUUGGCUAGUAGGUUUAGUGCUACAAGGUAAAUAAAAUAAUCAAAAGAAUGGGGGAAUAAAAAAAGACAAAGGGGAGACUAUUAAAUCCACAAGCUCCAGCUUUCAGUAAUAAUUUUUAAUAGUACAAGUCAUCCAUGCACGUUUGGAUUGCUUUUUUUUUUUUUUUUUUGGAGAAUUUUUGAGAAAAAAUUACUGUAUUAUUUUUCUAAAACGUGAUUUACGUGGUCGAUAAAAGUUAAUGUUUCCAGAAAAUCACAAUCCGUCUCAUAGUUGAUACAUCAAUUUCAUUAUUUAAUGAUGCAAUCUUAAAUGAAUUUCUUAUAGGACUUAAUUAAAUCGCAUGAAUUAGUUUCAUAAACUCCUUCUUUGAUUUCAUGAUUAAUUAUCAAAGAGUAAGGCUUUACUUUAUCUAUUGUUUUUUAAUUACUAAAACUCAUCGUUAUGAAAUUACCAAACACUCUACGGACUCAUUGCUACUCUCUAAUUUUAUCACAUCCAUAGUGUAAUAUUAAUAGUGGGAUUUGAACCAAACGGCGGGCUUAUAGAUAAAUAAUUUGGUGUAACUAACCAAUGCCUAUUAGAUACCCAUUAAGUAAAUCCCUCCUAAAUUGCCACCUGGAAUUUGACUACUAAAAAUGGAUAAGAGGAUGAUUAUAGAACAUAUAUUCUAUUUGGCAAAUGAGUUUUUUAGGAUGUUUGUAUAAAAUUUUAUUAUAAAAUUUGUAGAAAAAGUUGUUAAAAAACUUGUAGAAGAAUAACUCGGUAAAAAAUUCGUUUAACAAACAACCCUUAAAAGGAUAACUAUGUACCAUCAUGUAAUAAAUGAGAAUCUGGUUUGUGGAAGUCUGGCUAAUUAAGUUUCAAUUGAAAUAAAGAUUUUAUAAUUGUUUAAAUUAUUUAAUAAAAUUAUCAAUUUCAGAUGAACGUAAAUAUAAAUACAUUAAAUUGUAUUAUUGAAAUAUUUGAUUUAAUAUGAAGGAAAGACAAGAAGAAACAGCAAGAAAUUUUUAAAAAAAUUCAUAUGAAUCAUUCAUAUUGGUAAUCAUCUUUACUUGUUAAUGUAAUCACAUUACCUAACCAUAACCAAUUGAAACUCAUAUCCACAAGUCAUGCAACAAUUUGUGUUGUGCUGCUUAGAAUUAAAGUUAUAAUAUACUCAAAUUAAAAUUCACUUUUUCCCACUAAUUUUUCUUUCUUUUAUAUAUGAUUCAUGUGCUGUCAUUUGUUUGUAAUUAAUUUAGCGAAGAGAUGCUCUUUAGGAUAAAUGAUGGUGUUUUGACAAUGUGGAGUACUUUUAAGGAUUUUUAUGAGAUUUGAGAACACAUUUUUCAUGCAUUUAAUCUAAUUUAGAUUUUAUUCCAUUUGAAAUAUAAUUAUUUAAAACAUCAGGGACCAUAUUGAUCAAAUUUUCAAAUAUUAGGGACCAAAAAAAUACAAAGUCAAAACUUUGGACUAAUUUUAAUUUGAUUUUGACUGUUGGAUAUUGUAGUUUUCUUUUAGUUGUCCUAAAUUUGCUUAAAAUAAAAAAUUUUGGGACCGUUCUGGUCGAAACUUUAGGGAUUAAUUUAACUCAUAAACCAAACAUUGGAGGACCAAAAUUGCACAUCUCCCUUUAUUUUAAUCAUGUCUGAGUUCCCAACUCUUCCUUUUAUAUUUACAUUUCAAUUAUUUCAAAUAUGAAACUCAAUUAGAAAAGAAAAACUAUCACAACAUUUGCUUUGACAUGUAUAAAAUUAACUAAUUAAUGUUGAAAAUUUCACCAAUUUUUCAUUACAACAAUCUUGUCUAUCUUUCCGUGCCUUUUUUUCACUUUUCUUUGACAUUCACUUUUUCGCUCUUCCCCUCCUUUUAUUGGAAAUUUGGGACUUGCUGGAGUGUACACAAAAUAUUUUCUAAGCAUUGGGCAUUAAAUGAUGAACAAAUUUUUAAGAGGGCUUUUAUUGUGAUUUUAAAAUGCAUUGCAUCAUUUCAUCCACGCACAACCGGCUUUCUCCAAUGCCCCAGAGACUUAGUUAUUCACAUGUUACGAUUGCGAGUUCAUUAAAGUAUAGAAAGUUCAUAGUCAAUCUCUAACAUUCUAUUAAUGAAAUUCAAAGAUAAAAUGUGAAAUGUUCGUUUUCUUUCUAUUAAGGGCAAAUUCCAUUUUACCCCCUAUGAUUUAGCAUUUUUCACAUAACCCCCCUACGGUUUCAAAUGCUAUACAUAACCCCCUUAUAGUUUGGAUUAAAAUGUCAAAGUAACGGAAAUAGUCACUCGUAACGGCGUCACCUAAAAUGUCAAAAAUACCCUUAUGUAAGGUUGAAAUUUAUGUAUUAACCAAGGGGGGUUAUGUGUAUAUUUUGAAAAUCAUAAGGGGGUUAUAUGGUAAAGUAUUAAACCAUAAGGGGGUUAUAUGGUAAAAUAUAAAAAUCAUAGGGGGUUAAUGUGUCAUGUAUUUAUAAGGGUAAUUUCGACAUUUUUAGAAGUUCCGUUACGAGUGACUAUUUCCGUUACUUUGACACUUUAAUCCAAACCAUGAUGGGGUUAUGUAUAGCUUUUGAAACUAUAUGGGGAUUAUGUAAAAAAAAGAGUAAACUAUAGGGGGGUAAAAUAUAAUUUACCCUUCUAUUAACAACGUGAGUAAUGUAAAAUAUAGAGCGCAAAGCCAAUCACAAACAUCGUCUUCGUGAAUAAAGAUAAAGUGUGCAAUCCUCAUUUUCUUUUAUGUACACAUGAUAUUUCUGAAAAUUUCAGAUACUUUUUUUAAUUACAUUUUUAUCUCAUAAACAUAUUCAUUCAAAAAAAAAACAAAAAGUACUGCACCGAAAUUUUUAGAACCACCAUCCACGUGGAGCAACUAUUAACUCCUAGGACUAAUGGCUGGUCCUUCGCAUGAUAUUCAAUCGAGAUGAUGCAUGGACCUUGAAAAUGAUGCAUGGACCUUUGCCAGCUGCUGCAGUGUUUGUGCCAGACAAAGGGUGGCGAAAAGACUGAAAAACUUGGCAAACUGUGUGGGCAGCUUUGUUAGCAACUUGUUGCACGGAUUAUUUUUAUUUUUAUUUUUUUCAUUUAGGGAUAUCCGGACCUAUACCCGACUAGUCCCCUAACCCCGAGAAGAGUAGGCCCCACCGAUCCUCAGGAAAAUACCCCAGGCUGCCGAACUCGGAAUCGAAACCAGGACUGGCGCCUUAAUGAAGAACGCGAAGUCCAUCCGAGCAGCCCAUGGGGGGACUUGUUGCACGGUUUUUUUUUUUUCAGUUAGGGAUAUCCGGACCUACACCCGACUAGUCCCCCAACUGAGUGGCAAAUGCAUACGUAACUGAGUGGCACGGAUUUAACUGAGUGGCAAAUGCAUACGGUACUGUUUGGUAACAAAGAUGUAAAAAGAAUUGGUUGAAAUAGUUACAUGGAGAUAUAACUAUCAAAUUUAUUUGUCAAAACCUGAACCAUCAAAUUGAUGGCAAUAAAAUAAAGGGUUCAGUCUGAUAAUUAACAGCCCGAAUUUAAUUGAUGCACGGAUUUAACUGAGCAGCAAAUGUAUACAUAUUGUUUAGUGACCAAGAAUUGGUUGAAAUAGUUGUAUGGAGAUGUGCAUCAUAUUUAUUUAUCGAGGCCUGAGCCAUCAAAUUGAUGACAAUAAAAUAAAGGGUUCAAUCUGAUAAUAGCACGGAUUUAAUUGGUGUACGGAUUUAACUAAACAGCAAAUGUAUACAUAUUGUUGUUUGGUGAUAAAGAUGUAGCAAGAAUUGGUUGAAAUAGUUGUAUGGAAAUGUACAUCAUAUUUAUUUUAUUGAAGCCUGAACCAUCAAAUUGAUGACAAUAAAAUAAAGGGUUCAAUCUAAUAAUAGCAUUUUGCUGUCAACUUGUACUCGAAAUUACUGUCUUUGUCCGUUCUCAAGAAAUUACUGCCUUCGUUUACAAUUUAGGAGACUGAAGAUGGUGAUGUUGAUGUUGCUUGUUAUCAGAUUUAGGGAUAUGAACCAUCUAGUACCAGAAAUAAUAUCAAGAUUUCUUUGCAUGUCAAACAUUUGUAUCCACCAGGGUCUGUAUCAAGAAAUAAAUCUGGAAGUUGGGAUGUCAAGCUGCAGGCAAAUGCUAAGAGUUCGUUUAGACUGUAUUUUUUUAAGUUUUUGUGGGAAUUUUUGUAGAGAAACAACAUUGUAGCUUCUUCUUCUUUUUUUCUGUUUUUGGGAGAUAUGAUAUAUGUCAGACAAAAAAUAUGAUUGUGAAAUUUUCUCCAAAAAUUACUAUCUAAACAAAAUGAGUUAUGAAGAGUUGGCAAUUAUUAGGAAAGACCAAAUUAAAGAUUUGGUGACUUCAAGUCUGAAAAUUAAGACCCUUGCAGGGAACCAAAGAUUUCUAAGAUAGUGGAACAUAAUGGGUUCAACGAUGAAUAAACUUUGCCCUAGUCAAACCAUGACUUGACUACCAACAAACUAUAACAAGCAAAAUACUUCUGACCCCUGAAAUGAUGAUAUUGCAAACAUGGGUAGGCGUAGCCAUGACAUGUUUCCUAGCAUCAUUCCAGCCUCUCUAGCCCAAAACUACCCUAAUGAGGAUUCUAAGUAGCAAGUAAAUCAUGCAAUUCCAAGUCCUGAGCCAAGUGAAAUAAAAUCAGAACAUCUCUUAUAAUUUCCUACAAUUGAGUUUCAAUUUGGACUAACCCAGUUUGCUACAAGUUGCAGAACAGAUGCUUCCUACAGGCUGCCACAAUGUUCUUGUUUUGUCCAAAUUUGUUCAACAAUUGGGGCAUGGAAUUCACGAAAAGCUAUGGCCUUGAUUGAACUCUUUACGAGGCGCCCAGGCCUGUGGAAAAGAUUACCACACUUCCAGAUUGCUUUCCCUUUUCUUCAAAAGGGAAAAUUUAGUUCUUGUCAUAGGCCUAAAAGGUAAAAAUUAAAGGAGUUCGCCAAUAGUUUCAAUUAGAGGUGGGAAUUUGGAUUGAGAUCCAUUUAUCCAUCCAUAUAAUCUAUAAUUAAAUGGAUUUGAAUUAUCCAUUUAUAGUGUUGAUUUUAAAUGGUUGACCAAAGUAAAAUCAUUAAAUUAAAUGAAUUUAUAUGGAUUAUUCACAAAAACCAUAUAUAUCCAUUUACUUAAAAAUCAUGUUUCUGUCUCGUGCUAUUGUGGCAUGCAUUUAAGGAAAUGCUUUCAUUAUGAAAGUUUCAUUUGAUUUUGAGAAACGAAAGGGACCACCCUUGCUGUUAGGCCCAGUGUUGUACUGGAUUAACUGGCAAAGCAUUUGGCUCCCCUUAAGCAAGGUCUCGGGUUCAAGUCUUGUGAGUGAAAAGACAAAUGCUAGGAGAGCUUGCACCUCUUAUGAGGUGCAACCUAGUUCAACUCCGGAUUAGUCAGGACCCAAAGCGACUACUGUAUACCAAGGGAUCUGGCAAAAAAAAAAAAAAGUAACUAAAACAUUUAAAUUGAUUAUAAAUGAAUAAUUGAUUUUUAUUCAAUUCAUUUAGAUCCAUCCAUUUAGAUCCAUUUAAUAAAUGGAUCUAAAUGAAUUGGAUAAAUUUCAUCCACCAUCCAUUAAAUCAAAACCAAUUAUGAACCAUUUAUCCAUAUUACCACCUCUAGUUUCGAUCGUGUAUGUAGGACUGACUAUUCUUUUUACUUCCCACUCCCAUUUUUCUCGUGGCAUUUUAUGCCUUGUUCAACCAGCACUAUUAGUAAGCUAUCUGUAAUUAAGAUAAGAUGAAAAAAACAAGGCUUAAACAAUUGCAACUAAACAGCAUGACACAAUAACAAACUUUCUCAAAAUAUACCUUUGUGGCUUUGUUUAGUGAAGGACAAUGUAGUGAACAUUCACAUCAUAUGCACUCAAGCAGUAGAACCAUCAUAUUCUUCCACAGACAAGGUGAAUAUUUUCAAGAAUAAGCGUUAAUGUAAUAAUUAAGUUUACAUGCUUUGGUACAGUUGUAACUACAAUAAUAGUCUAUAUAUACAGCUGUUGCAACUCAGUUGUCUCUCCGUCAAAGACACAGACAGACGCACAACAGAUGAAGACACAAAGCCAGAAUCAUCUCCGUUAAAAGAACUCACUGUCCCUUUGACACAAGUUUCCUACUUCACAAAUGGUGACAACCUCUAAUCGAAUAACAAUUUCCUUAAAAAAAAAAAGUAAAAAUAAAGAACAAAAGAACAAGAGAGCCAUAAAUACAGGAAAUUAAGAAAAGAAAGAAUUUAGUACAAGAACUGGACUCACUGCCAGACUUCUGGAUACUCCUCAAGGCACAGAAUAUAGGGCUUAAAUUAAGAACCUGGUGGACCCAGUUAAGUCUGAAGAUUCAAAAGUUGAAUGCUGAACAUGAUCCUGCAAUUUUACAUCAGCAUUCAGUCUGGAAAUAUCUUCUCUUAAGGCCAAUUCCGAAACCAAAGAUAUAUGAUCACUUCCCCAUUUUCUAGAAAGCACAGCCAAUAAAUUGACGCCAGCAUAUAGAAAAAAAGGAAAAAAAGUGUGUAAGUGGACUCACUGUCAGACUUCUGGAUAUUCCUUGAGGCACAGAAUAUAGGGCUUAAAAAUAAGAAUCUAUUGGACCUACUUAAGUCUGAUUCAAAGUCAAAUGCUGAACAUGAUCCUGCAAUUUUACAUCAGAAUUCACGCUGGAAAUAUCCUCUCUGAAGGCCAGCUCCGAAACCAAAGCUAUAUGAUCACUUCCCCAUUUCUGGAAAUCACAGCAAACAAAUCAACGGUAGUAUGUACAAGAUAUUAGAUUCUUAGUAAGUUCACAAGGAUCGGUAUAUGAGAAGGCUGUUACAAGAGAUAUGAAUGCCAAAACAAUAAUCUAGCUAAGACAAUUAAUUGAAGGACUAACAUCAAGAAUAUGAAGUCACCUACCACACUGAUGAAAAGCAGAACCUCCUGAACUUAAGGUCUGGCUCAGUUAGGUUUUCUGAUAUACUAAUCAAAGCGAAAAUAUCACAAUACUGACAACUUGGACAGGUUUUUAUUAAAUGAGUUAAAGACAAUCAUAACCCGAAACGCACAUUAUACAUACUUUAAAAUAACUCUCCAAAAGUAACUAUUUUUCAUUUGAACCAAAGAUUCAACAAUUCAAUAACGCAUCAGUUGUUUGGGCCCAAUAUUUCAGCAAUGACUAAGAAUUCCAAAAAGUGAACUAAAAAAAUUAGUUGGGGAGAAAGUAACCAACUUUUGAUCAAGUACAACUUCAAAUGUUGAUCUAGUUAGUUGCAGCAGGUACUGAAUUUUAGCCCCCACUUUUGGACUGUAAACAGAAGGACAGCUAUUCUGCUUGCUAAAGUAGGUCAAAAGUCUGCUUGGAUUACUUUGCUCAUGUUUUUUAGUUAUAAUAUAUGCUCAAAGAUUUCCCAGUUUCAAAAACAUUCUAAGAGUGGUAUCCAUGGUUUUUCAUACUUUUCAUACUAAAAGGACAUCACAUGGUUUUACAUAUUGGAACAAAUGCACACAAGCAAACUAGCUUCAUCGGAAUAUAAUUAAAAGUAGAGCAGGGAGCUUAAUUCUAGAAGAGCAGAGACAACAUUAUUUAAGAGAGUCAAAAUAUACCACAAAUACAACACCAUUGGUAUCUUAAACUAGCAUCAAGGAAAUAUAGUAAGAAAUGGGGCAGACAAUGUAAUUCUAGAAGAGCACGGACAACAUUAUACAAGGAAAUACCUAAAAUUCCUAGCAUUUGCAGUGAUUUGUAUGAAGUAAAAUAGUUAUGUUCAGAAUUUUCUGAUUAUCAAUUUUACAAGCCCUGCAGACAAACAAAAAAUAACCCAUGCAAAUGCAAUACUAAACAAGGAUAGAGUUAUUAGACAAUAGGUGCAAGUCUAAGUACAGUUACACAGCUUUCUAUGUUAUACAUUAAGAAAUGUCAGGGUUGCAUAUGCUUGACCCUUCAUUAUAUUUUACCUGCUAAAAAUUUGAGUGAUUGAAAUACUAUGAGAUUAAGAUUGAAAAAUUGUCAUAUUGUAGUCUUCCAGAAGUAGGGAAAAAAGCUGUAAAAAUGUAGUUUUCUUUGACAUAAUGUAUAGUCAUGAUUCCGAGGUAGCUAAGGUUGAAUGCCUGUUCCGGUGAAUUUGAGCAUACAAGAUUAAAAAGACAACAUUAACCACUCUAAACAGUAAAUACUUUCAACUUUAAUGAGUCAUUAAGCAACGUUAGUAGCUUAUAGUCUCCCACAGAAAAUACAGCAAAAGGCAUAGAUACAUGUUAGUAGGGACUUGAAAAUAAAAAUGUGACACACUAAAUCCUCUUAAAGCUAUGAACAGUAGUCAUUAUCAAUUAUUUAUGCAGUUAACCAAUUUUGUCAAUCAGUCUUUGAGAGCCCAUGUAUGUGGGUGGUUUUAGUUUCAAAGAUAACCUUUACAGAAAAACAAACAAGCAGAAAAGAGCUACACUUCCAGAACUUUUUAUGCAAGAAUAAAUAAAAUGAUUUAAUAAUGAACAACUUUUGUUCAACUAAAAGGGUGACAAAAUUUAUGAAAUUACAGUAUGAUACUAAAUGAAGUCAUAUUCUUUUAGCAGAUGGAAAUACGAGACCAAAGGUGACCCAGAUCAUGAAAAGGAUGGAAACUGUUAUUCAUCUGGGCAUCUUCAGUUUGAUUUUCAGAAGAUUUUUGUGUACCCCAGUGUACACUACCAUGGAAUUAGGAAUAUCAAGCAUUGAAAUGAUCUCAGCAGAAGUUCCUCUUGUAGGAUAAAGAAACUUCAAACUUGGACCUGUUUCACAAAUGACCGAUGUUGGAAGGCUACAAUCGAGGCUGGAGAGCAUUCAUGUGAUUAGAAACUUACUCAAACACUUGGCUUAUGACAACCAUGAGAAACAACUGUAACAGAAAAAUUUUCAGGAAAAAGACUAAGAUAAUACUUGAUCCAGAGCCCACACAGGAGUUAUUUAAUGACAAGAUAUUAGUUGCUCUACUUGGAUUUGAUUUUGAACAAAGAUGGUCAAUACCAUGUCAAGUUGUUUCCAUAAGCAAGCUCAUAAGCCUAUUUCAUUAAACUUGGGAAGAAAAUGGAAAAAGGCCAUAUUAUAUAAUUAUUCAGAUGGACAAGGUUUGAAAGCAAUACCUUUGUAGGGAAUCCCCGUGUCCACUGCAUAGCAUGCUUUGGAAUAGGGGCAAGAACCCUGGAAGUUUGGAGACCUUCAGAGCGCCUACAGCUCACACACAUUUGCACAAAGAUUUACUUCAGCAUCCCAGCCUAAUCAACAAUUAUUGAACUAAAACACCUAAAACAGUUUUUAAACAUCUACAUAGCAAAAUGAUUCGGACGUGUUUGGUAGAGAGCAUAAAGAAGAAAAGCUAAACUUUCCUUCCUAGCCUCCUAUUCCUUUCCAAUGAGGAAGCAAGAACCAGAACAACGAAAUGGCCCAUAAUGUAACAUUUCACAAAUCUAACGUACAAGAAGAAAAGGAUAAAAUGGUAAAAUCCAGAAAACUUAUUUCCUGUAUAUUACUCCUCAAGGAAAAGAGUUCUUUCAGAUUUCUUCCUCUCUCGCUCCCUUUUCGCUUCCAAAUGAUCUCAUACAGUCAAGCAUAUCCAGUUUAAGAUGUUGUAAACAAACCAACUGAAGUCAUAUCCUUAUAAUCUAAAUGCUGUAAGUUGAUAAUCUCUAAUGAUGACUUUUCAAGGGCCAAAAAAAGAUAAAAAAUAAAAAAUUCAAGGUCUACUUAAGCUUAAUGUGUGCACAUUGCUUUGUUUCACAGUAUGGUAUCUAUAUUUUCUUCUUUGUUGAUCACAAUGUCAACCUUUUUUCUUCUGUCAAAAUUUACUUAGUUUAGCAAAAUAAAAAAGAGAUCUUAAUAAAGUUCAGAUUAGGUUAAGCAUGGAGAUAUUUCUAAAGUAAUCAUUUAUUUUUGCUCAGGAUAACCAACACAAACUUGUCCCAUCAGAUUGUGAGUGGUAAAAUAGCACCAAAAUUAGAUUUCCUACACACUAGGAUCUCAAGAAAGAAAUGAACUUCUGCAAAAAAAUCCUGAAAAGGAAGAACAUGCAUCCUCAACUUAUUUACUUCUUCGGGGGACAUAACUACUCGAGUCUGACAAAGGUCCCAAAAAAUGAGCUGUUCAUCCAAAUAGAUGUUGUCAUUGACAUGAGGGAAACUACACUCUCACCAUAUAUAAUCAACUGUGCCCAAAAAACGUCUAUGGUAGCUGGUUACUGCAGGUUCUCCAGUUGAAUCUCUUGUGCCUGAAGAAUCCUGCAAGUUAAAGUACCAAAACUUUACAGUUCUUCACAUUAAAUAGAUAUUAUCAAGAAGCAAUGCUUACAGCAAGUAGACUUAUCAAGUAUGAGCUUAAAUAUCUUAGAUCCACCUCAACUUCUCCAUAUACGCUUUGUAACUUCAAAGGGUGUUCCAUUACUAAGCAAUCUGAACUUCCUGUCGCAGUUUCUAGUUCCACCGGAGUCCAAGCUGAUGGAUCAUAUUGUGACUGUUCCACAUCAAUAAUCUCGGAAUCCACAGCUCGCGUGUCAAUCAGACUCUCAUUUCCAAGUGGAUUAGUCUCUUGGAUAUCGGAGCUUGUAGUUGUACCUUCUUCAAAUGAACCAUCUGCUUCAGGUUUUACACUUUGAGAGUGACAAAAGGGAUCUGGGAAAGGAUCAAAAUUUAAUAUAUUUCAGACAAAAAAGCUACAAUUGUGUUCACCUUCCUUUGUGUCUUCAAGAAACUCAUUUAUAAGUAAGUUGUCCAUUUCAUCACCCAACAAAUUGAUAUCUUGGAUUACGUCCUUAACAGGACUAACAGAAGAUUUCAUGUCAUCCUGAAUCACAACUGGACUUUCCUCCAAGUCAUAAGAAUCACAGAUGGUAGAUUUAAAUUCAUUGUCGCUUCCAUGAAAAAUUUCAAUAUCAUUUUCUCUUAAUUUUGUAUCAGUUCUUUCAUCUACGUAUAUGCUGUUAAUGCAAGACUCCACAGGCUCUUCCACCACAGAAGAGAGAGGCUUAGACAAGCAGUCCGGAAAAUGUUCAUUUCCUGAACAUUCAUCAGGAUAAUUUUUCUUCUCUUCAGCUAAUGGAGAAUCACAGCUCUCUGCUUUCAUCUGACUGGCUGUUGGCAAUACUUGAGAAAAGUUACCAGUGGAAAGGGCCCUAUAAUAAUAAAAGCAGUGUCAAUUUUGGAAGCGUGUAAUGUAGCCUCCAUGUGCUUGACACAUAGAAAGUUAAAAAAGUAAGAGCAUAGAUACCCAGAAUUAGGAUUAGAUGGCCUUGAUGGAUAAAAUUCUGCCGAUGUUUGUCCUGAAACUUGAUCACGAGGAAGUUCUGACAGGUCUAACUGCAAUAAUACAAGGAAACUAUGACCAACGUUUGCAAACUGAGUAGAAAAGUGAAAUUGCAGGAAGUGGGAGGGUGUGGAGCUGAAGGUCAUCAAUGCUACCAUUCACCUUUUGUUCUGCAACAAAGUUGUACAAUGGACUCUGAUGCAAAAGCAAGAAAGAAUAUCAGAAAAAUCAACAUGAGGCCAAAAGAAAGGCAACACUAUGGGCUAAGACAUAAUGGAUGCAUAUAAAGCAAGAAAUCAAGACAACAGACCAAAAAAAAAAAAAAGUUACUUAACAAAAUGAAUUAUAGCACCUUUGGAGUACUAUUAAAAUCCCCACAAAUAAUGACAGAAGCAUCAUCCCAAAGCUUUGAGACAGCAUGAGCCCGAGCUAGAAGCACCCUUAUCUGCUUACAGAACAAGAAGUUGCAGCAACACUCAGUAAAGAUAACUUGCAGUAAACAAAUAAGCAGACAUUAAUUUUGUCAAAAAGCCCAAAGGAAUUUGUAUAUUGAUCACCAUUUUCCCCAUAGCCUGUGAUUCAAUUCAAGUCAAGUUUGCGACAUUCGGUACGAUCAUAAGCAGCAUCUUUAAAGAAGCUAUACUUUUGAUUAUUAGAUAAUUUCUGAAACAAGGUUGUUCCAAUCUUGUAGAAACUAAUAUUCUAGAAUUGAAAAUCUUGACCUAGCUAGAACAUGAAAAAGUAGAAACCCGUAGCAGUCAAAGCAGAUGGGAACAGAGCCAAAAAGUUCCAGUGGGGCUGAAGCAAAAGAAUUGUUCAGACCUAUCCAUAACCACCCAUAUAAAUUAAGAUUCCUGCUCCAACUGUUGUACUGAGUUCCUUAUUCCACACCAUCUAUGUACAUCAUUGAAUCAACUUCCAAAAGCACCUUUUUAUAUGAUGUACAAACUAUACAGUAGCUAGCAGAAUGGCUCCAGAGAAGAACACAAUCAGGAAAAUGUUCUUUCUUCUUGCUAGGAUGUUGCUUAGUCAAUUACACGUGUCCAAAAACAUUAUAGCGUGAAGAAACUUCCAAAAGCGAAAAGCACGAAAUUAGCUGCUGCUGAUCCUUGGAUGAAAUCAUAGAAAUCGCAAGAGACUAUCAACACAAAAAGGAUGAAGAAAAAAUGUUACCUGACCAAGCUUGAUUUCUCCCCUUCUAGGAUUGAAAAGCACAUGAAUGUUACAAACCACAACCUUCUUUGCCUGUUUUGAGCUGCAAUAACAGGAUCUGAGUCCAAGCGAAUGAAGCAGAAAAAAUCCCAGUUAUCCAACAAAAGGAAAACCCAGAGAGGUGGUCCAAUUAUAUAUCAGAAAAAUUGGAAAUUUAUGCAUAUCAACAAGCUCCCCCCAACUUCCUCUUUAUCUUCUUUCCCCAUAUGCUCUUGUUCUGCUUUGAGCAGAUGAGUUUAUUAAUUAUUGAAUGAAUUUUUUAAAAUAUAAUAAUAGCAAUAUGAAGAUUACCCAUGAUACUUAAAACUGUUGCAGCUAUAUGUGACUGAAACAAUCAUGAAAAGCUUCAACUUGAUUGCCAAAAAUGUGUAAUUUUUGCGAAUUGGUUCUAAAGGGAAAAAAAAGACAAGAUGUUUAACGGAGAAUAAUUGAAAGAGCAGAAACAACUGAAGUCCAAUGCCCGAGGUGAGGUGUAAGCAUAUGAACUGCUUUAUUCUUUUCAUAACGCCACUAUCAAAAAAAUAAGGAUCUAAAACUCAGCAACCCCUUUGAAUUUCGUCUAAACAAGAACAUAUACAUUAUGAAAGCUUUAAUACUCUUUUCCAUAUCAGGAUCACAGAACAUUCAAACUCAGAACUUUUACUAUUAUACAACUUAUUUCAUCACCAAUUUGAGAAAAAUGAAAAAACUACCUUUUCGAGGGAGCUGGUGCAGUGGUACUGUUGCACUGAGAUAAAGACUGUUCAACAGAGACAACAAAUUAGAUGGACAAACUUGACAUUUCAUGGUAAAAUUACAUAUCCAAACCACUUCAAGUUUCCCAUUUGGCAUCUGCAAAACUCAUGUACCUCAAAUACACAUAUCUGUGCAACAUUAUCUCGAAGGCCAAGUGCACUGAAUUCGAUGGACUCCUCAUGCACCAACUUGAAUCUAACACAAUAAUAAAGCCAAUUCUAAGGGGGAAAAAAUUGUUUUAACACAGCAAUAUCAUAUUCGUGAGGACGCAUAGUGUCUAAUUAAAUAUACAACAAGGAAGGAGAUGCCAGUUCUUGUACCUUGAACAGAAACACAACUCAAUUACAAGCCAAAACUCUUAAGAGGAGAAACAAAUAAAUCACUAAGAGAAAGAGUAGCUACAAAAAAAAUGACAUGGAAAUAUUAAAACACAGAGACUUACAUGAACAACUGCAGAAAAUGUUAACCAUGCAAAAAUGACUUCCAUUUUAUUUAAUCUUUUGGGGACAGCAUUUGGAAACAACAUAACAACAAUUCGGGAUUGAAGAUUUCUAUGAACACUGUUGCUUCCAUGGCAUUACCCGCAUCAAUGAAUUACAAAUAUAGCAGGAGUUCCACAGUAAAAUGAGUCAAAUUGUCCUAGUCUUGGCUAGUCGACUCUACAGCCAAUACACAACCCAUUUACUAAGGAUAGCCAAGAACUUGGAAAAAGCUUUUAAUAGACAACUAUUUAGUGCAUCACCCUCAUAAAAAAACUAAAUACAGCAUGUCUAUAACCACUCUAGAAGAAACCAGAAGAGUUUACUAAAAAGCAGGAAAAAAAGGUGAACAAAUAGGGCAGCAAGUCAAAUUCUUUAUUGCAUCCACAUACUAUGGAUCUCUUAAUUCACGCAAAUAUCCAUGGAGUGAGAUUAGUGCACUGCUCAAAUAGCAAAUCCACAACCACACAAACACAGAAGCAAAGAGUUCUCAAACACAAGCCCAUAGUGGAAUGCAUAACAAGGACCUCACACCAGAAAGUAAAACCAACAAGAUUCGUCCUAUUGCUUCUUGUGAUAAAAAUGACCUAAACUACUGCUUAUCAUAAAAUCUAUAACAUGAAAAUUCAUAAAGAAAUGAAGCUGAACAGAUUGUUUUAAUGAACAAUGAAAACCAAAAAAGUGUAAAUAGCACACAGAUUUAUGUGAACUAGAAAAAAAAAAAAACAUUCCCGAGUCCUUUGGAUCUGACGAUAAAGCACUGGAAAGCACAUUACUCAAAUUUGCUAUUUGUACACCACUAAAUUCUAAAACAGCACAACAUAACUUAUACCUAGAUAUAUGCCACUUGGCAAAUAUCAAUCACUUCAUCUAAUCAUAAUUAAAUGUUAAGACAUGAUGUAAAGUACAAAUAACAUGGGUCAAUAAACUUUACAAGUUACUUAAGAGAAUGUUUUGUGCAGAAGAAGAAAUUCUUAUAUAACGAAUGGAGAAAUGGUAGUGGUACUGAUUCCAACAAAAGGUAUGUAAGAAGCAAUGCCCAUGAUGUAAUGAGUCACUGAAUGACUUCACCCCAGGGGACAUUUGAGACUGGGCUUACACUACCUUGAGUUACGCCAGAAUAUUGCGCAGCCAUCAACUCGAUCACCGGUUCGCAUCUAAAAAGUAAUAGACAAAAAAUUACCAUCUAUUUGAUGUUUUUUAUCCACUUUGACGGGGACCAUGUUAAUAAAUCAAAAAUAAGUCAAGACAAGUAAGUGAAAAUUCUACUAUGACUUCAUUCCUAUAUCCAGGACUUAUGAUGAAACUCUGGACUCAACAACCAAGAUUUAAAGAACCAAGAGGCAAUGCAAUUGAAUAAGUUAAACUCCUAUUGGUAACCCCGCCCCCCCCCCAAAAAAAAAAAAAAAAAAAGAAAGAACAGUUUAUUUCUUGUUAAGCUCAAAGAUGGCAUCAUUUUGCAACUUUCUGCAACAAAAAAUUGUUUCAGCCAUUGGGUGUCAGUCAUGUUGGUUAGUCUUAAUUUAUUUUGUUAAGUAGCAUUGAUAGCAUUUAAUUGGCAGACAUCAUUGGUAUAGACUGAAACUUGUAUUUGAAAGGCCAAAUGCAGGGGAUGGUAACCAAAUCUAGCAUAGAAAUGAUGAAUCAAUAAGCAAAGAAGAAAAGACUAGAAAUUUUCCUAUAUAACCAUUAUGCAUCAACUUCCAAAAAUACAAACUGCCCAACAGUGCUGAAAGAGUAUAACAUAGCAAAACAGUAGUGUUUAAAGACCCAACCAAAGCAUCACCAAUUUUUGUGCAACUCCAGUCACUCACACACACACUCACUAACUUACUCACUCUCACAUGGCUUAAUGAGCAAAAGAGAACCAAAUAAAUGUAUAGUUUACUGCAGACCCCCCCUAUGGAGCCCAUGGAACAAACUCCCAAGGCAUCUUGGAAGGAAGCCAACCCCAAUCAUCGUGUUACAGAGAGAAAAUGCAGGAACCCAAUAGAAAUUUACCAUUCAAAAAUCCCUCAAGAAAUCUAUGUGAUACCAAUUCUUAUUGCAAAGGUGAGAACAGUACAACUAGUAGCUCCUUGUACAUUUGGGAGCAUCAAUCAUAUCAUUGCAUAACACAAUGCACAUUCACAUCAUGCAAAAUAGGGUAAAACAGGAAAGUUUGAAAGACAAUAACCAUGUAAUAGCACACAAACAACUAAGCACUUUUCUAAACACCUUCCAAACACCAUUAUAUCCUCGAAGCUCCAGUUCUUCUUUCAAGUCUUGGAAUCUGUCAACCUCCUGAGGUUAUAAAUGAAAAAUAAGAUUAAUAAAGAAAGCAGGAUCACUUUUCAAGACAGAGAGUGAGAUGUAAACAUCAUUAGAAAAGGAGCACACAAGGAAAGAACUGAAUAGAAGUAUUUUCAUCAAAUAAUUAUUCAGAAGGACAAUACAGUAACAGCACUACAUAUAACAUUAAACCAUGCAUUAAUACAUGACAAUAGGAAUAAAGGGGCUUGUUCAUUGUUAUCAACAGAGUUUACAAUUCUUGUUACAAGUCAAAGGACAAAAGUUGAAAGGUCUUUUUAAGCAAUGAGUAAUAAAAUCAGAAUGUCUGAUUCAUAACACAUAUCACUCCUGUACUAACUCUUAUGCUUCAGCCUAAACCAGAACAGUAUAGGCACAGCAAUGAAAAGAAAAUAUUAAGAUAAAUCAAACCAAGCAUAUGAAGGCAACCAUUGAGGAUUCUGAAAAAUACAUUAAAGAACCAUCUGCCAACAUUUGUCAACACACAGAUGACCAUUAUUUAAAAGACUAGAUGUACUUGAGCAGCAGCAAAAUUUCAAAAACAAGAUUGAGCUGAUAAUUUGCACAGUUAAAGCCAAACUUUGACUCCCCAGACUGCAAACACAGAAUACGCCAUUUAUGACCAAAUGAAAAUAUGCUAAAUAGCAGCUUGCUGUGUAUGAAAAAGAAAAUCAAACUAGGCCCCCCUUCCCAAACCCAAAAAGAAAAAAAAAAAAAAAAACUAUAGCAGUCAUAUGGAGUAAAUCCCCAAACAUGUAAUGGAAAAAAUGCCAUACUCACAUAGAACCCAAAGAUCUCCAGCCAAAGUUCCCCUCAAAUGGUAAAAUCCAAAUUAUCCUUCACCAAGUUGUCUCAUUCAUAAGAUACCUACAUUCUUUGCAUCCUCAUCACAAUACAUAUGCAUCUCAGAUAACAUUCUUUUCUACUCUAACUACUAUAGUUUUGGUAAUUUAAGGUGGAGGGAGCAGUUCAUUAGAAACCUGGCAAAAUUAUAUCUCUUCAUUUUUCCAUUAUAAUGUUCCAUUUGCCAGUCUCUUCACAAAGGACCGUGAUAGUAAAUAUAGUGAAUCAAUGACAUUUAAGUUACAAUUCCAUUCACUUGCUUUAUAAGGUCUCACUAUAUAAGGAUGACUACCAUGUAAAUCGGUUUCUCCUUUAUGCACUUUUAUAAAACCUCAGCUCUUGAUCCUUAGUUUGAGUUUGAAACCUCUUAACCCAGAAAAUGUUACACAUGCUAAAGAAAAUCCACACAAUCAAAUAUUUAGAGAAUGAAACCUUAAAACUCACGUUCCAUGGAAAGCAUUCGUGAUUCAGGGUCUUAAUCAGCAAACUCAACUAAGCUACAUCAGUAGAUUUAGGGGAAUUCAGGAGGUUUGAAGCUCUGAAAAAGAAAUGCUCAUGCUGAGCUGAUUUUCUCAGACUAUACACUGAAUUUUUUCCGAGAGCUCUGAAUGUAUAAAGGAAUUGAGAUAAUUCUUGCUGGAAAUAGCACAGAGAAAGAUCUCAAUAAUUAAGAAGACAGCAAGCAGAGGAAAAACUACAUUUCUGAAAAUCUCUUCGUUUCAAAAUCUGUUCCCAAAGAGUGCCGAUACAUAACUUUUUUUUCACGGGCAUAAUAAACUUGGAAAAUAGUACUACCUGGUACCCAAGUGAAAUUAAACUAGGCGAGAGUGGCUGCUUUUACAGCUUGACUACAGCUGACCUAGGCAACAUAAAAGUCACAAAAUGCCAGGAUACUGCACUCAACUUAGUGAAACUACUAGACAAAAAAACAAAUGCAUGACUACUCAAACCAGGAAGAUAAAUCCAAAACAUAACAUCUAGAUGAGCGUCAAGUGGGAAUCUUGAUGGCCACAUAUAUGUUACAAUUCAACUCUCCAAUCCCUUUGAGUUAUCAACCAAUUCUUUACAUGGCGUCAUUUGCAUCAGUUCAACGCUUUCCUUACCCAAAGCAUCAUAUAACAAAGAAUCCAAGAAGAGAGUUCACAUAAUGCAGAUGGUGUCAGUUCUGACAAAAUCUUCCUUGAAUUUUGAUAGCAUCUAGACAUAAAUUCAUCUUCAUUAGAGGAAUAAGGUAAAACUUAAGUGACCAUAAAUGCUGCAGAUUAACCUGAAAACACAAUAUAUCAGCUGACCAUAACCGAAGCUCAAAAAGAAUACUUCUCUUACGCCACUUCCAAUCCAACAUAUGGCGAGGUACGUGAAAGUAAAGCUUAUGCUGAUGAUCUGUAGCCAGGUAAUCAGCAAGUAUGUUGUACGAUAGAACUGUAAACCGCUCUGCAAAAGUUAAUAUGGACCAAUGGAAACUCAAAAUACUGAGUUUAAGAUACAACCAUACAUCGGAAAUUAACUCACAGACAAAACUAAAACCUUUCAACUUAUGCUUCAAUAUGAAGAUUCAGCAGCCAAAAGAACUGAAAUGCCAUGGAUUAAGAAAUUCUCAAAUUUGUAAUAGCCAGACGAAGUAUAAAGCAAAAAAUACAAACUUAGAAUAAGAAGAAAUUUGGCCCUUAAUAACUUGAUCUUUUUCAGCAUUAAUAUUUUUAAGUAGCAUUAAGUAUUACUGUCUUAUCAAGUAUACUCCAAGAGAAAUCCUACUCAAACCAAAUAACCGUCCUGCCUCAUAAAAAACCUGGCUGUCCUCAGUCCUCAUAACCAUGCUGUAAAUCACACUGGAUAAGCCACACCAUAAAAGUAUUUCUUAAAAGCAUUCUCAAACUCCCUUUUUUUUACAGAAAUUUGAAGAAAAAAAUUCAUAAAAACAAAUUAAAUUUGCCUGUUUCCUAAAGAAAUAAUGCUGGUUCCACUUCACAGACUUACUGAAAAGAGAUAGGAGAAUUGUAACCUUAUAUCUUUUGCUGGCAAGUACUUUUAGCUGCUGAUGAGUUGUGCGGUGAGAAAUUUCUUAAUUUAUGACAUUAAUAGACAAUCUUGCAAUCCUUUAAAAUUCUCACUCCCCCUUAUGCCUAAAAAAAUUUAAGACGGAUAUCUUUGAACUUUCUAAUAGUAACAAUAAGAUAGUUUCAACUAUAUUUAAAUAGAUUGGAUGAGUUUGAAACCCCAGAGGGUGCAAUACGCAUCAUGCUCAUCAUAGGGUAACCAUGGAUUGCUAAUCGCAUCAGUUGCUUCCUGAAUAAUUGAUUGAAUGAUACAACUAUAUCUCAUAAAUCCCUCUCAAGCAUAUCAAAUCGCAUGUAGCACAGAUGUAUGUAUGAAUUUUUGGGACAUUUCAUUAUUUCAGCACCUUAAAUCUUAUAUACGCUGCUCAUGUUUGAGUUCUUUCUUCUAAUUGAUAAAAACUGCAGAACACAUCAUCAUUGAUUCAGCACAAAACUUUAGACAGGCCAUUAAGCAGUUGGUAGUUCAAAAGGCUAUAUAAGACGAAGGUAUAAAGUUGAAUUAGUGAAUUCCACUUAGCUAAAUACAAAUUGCCAUGAACCCAGAGCAAAAAUUCAUUUUAUAUCUUAAUAACUCCACGUAAUAUUUAUCCAAUCCACAGGAAUUGUUUGUGAUAGUAAUUCCAUUCAAGUAGUAAUAUUCAUCAAAUUCAUAAUAAAUACAAAGAUUACAAAAAAACAAGCAAUAUACCCCAUUCAGGAGGAGGCCCGGGUUUCGCAUGCUCCCAAUUUCUAUAUUCCAAGUCCUUCGGAGGCCUUGGCCUAGGCUGCCACGGCUGCUGCUGCCACGGUCUAAACUGUUGGUUAAAAUUAUAAUGUGGCUGUGGUGGUCUAUAAGCUUGCUGAUUUUGAUCAACAGGUGGCUGCUGUUGUGGCGCCGGCGAAGGUCUAUGGAACUGACCGACAGACUGCUGCUGCUGUUGUUGUGGCCGAGGAUUGUAAUAAUUAGGCCGAGGACUAAACCUAGUAGAUGAUUGAAAGUUAGAGUUAGAGUUUCCUCUGCUAUAUGGUGGUCGAAACCCUCGGUUGGAGUCUUGAACUUGCCGGAAGUGAGAGUCGCCAGUGACAAAUUGCUCAGCAGUGUCCCUGCCGUCGACUGAGGGACGGUCGGAGUAACUUCUCCGACCACGGCCCCGACCCCGGCCUCCUGUAAACUGUGUAUAUUCAAACAAAAUUUAAAAUUUUACAGAACAAAUUAACAUAUGUACAGAUGAAAACAAGAUAGCUAGUAUUUAGUGAUAGAAGAGGUAAUACUGUUAUGCUAGAGUACGGGGGCUCACCGAGGUGCGAGACAACAUCACAGUGCAGGUGGUGCUGGUGGCAGCGACGGCGGCGGUGGUGGAGGCGGCAGCGGCAGUAGCAGAAGAGAGCAAAUGGAGGGAAUAGCAAGAGCGUUUCAUGAGCGACGAGCGAUGAAAAUUUGUUCUUUGCAUUUUAUAGUUUUCUCUUGGGAACAAAAUUUUUGAUUGCUAUGUACCCAUUUGAAAUUGGAUACCGGUUACCAAAAUUGGGUACCCAUGUUUUUUUCAUUUCAUUUAAUUUAUUUAUUUUGAAAAAACAAAAAAAAGCCCUCGUGAAUGGUGUUUUUGCUAUUUUUUUAAAUUUUUUGUUGCCAAUUUGAAUGAUGUGUUUAUCUUUUUUUAUUUUUUUCAGUUUGAGCAAGAUUCAAGUUUCAUAAACGGAGAAUGUAGAGUUUGAGGAAUUAGACCAAUGAUCUCACUCUUGAUUGGACUAAUAUUCUCGGGGAAAACUAUUUGUGUUCAUUUUGCUUUUCAAUAACAAAAUUUUUUAAGAAAAGAAAACCAUUUGGAAAAUUUUGCCUAUUGCUUUUUUUUUUUUCCUUUUAAGGGAAAAUUUGUGAAAUAGGAAUAGAAAGAUUCAUUAAUAAAAAGGGUGUAAGUUUUAAAAAAACUUUUGAAUGAGAUAUGUGAUACUUUUCAUAAAUUACGAACAAUGGAUAAAAUAUGAUUUUACUCUUUUGUGGACACACUAGCACUUGUUCAAGCACAAACACUCGUAUGUGUAGAUUUAUGCAUAUGUAGAGGUGGCAAAUCAACCCACUUAACUAAAUUUAUCCAUACCCGUCCAUGAAUAGAUGGAUAUGGGUAUCUUAAAUUUUUGUAUAUGGAUAUAAAUGGGUUACCCAAUAAUACCUAUUUAUUAAAUGGGUAUUAUUGGGUAACCAUCAAAUCCAAUUAACCCAUUUAAAAUUCUCUUCCCUCCAAGUCUCUUCUUUUCCCUCACCCAUUUUUUUUAAAAAAUUUUUUCAUUUUGUCAUGAUAUUAACUACUUUUGUUUCAUUAUUAUUAUUAUUUGUUGAUUUUAUCUUAUUAUUUUAUUUUCUCUUAGUUUGUUAACUUACUCAUUUUUGGAUUAAGUUUUUAUAUUAAUUUUUAUAUUACUUAGUUCAAAUUUUUAUAUUCUUAUUAUUCAAUUAUUAAAUAACAGGUAAUUUUGUGACAUUGAGUAUAAAUGAAAAAAAAAAUUGGUAAUUAGGCUUAUUGAACAUUAUAAGUAAAUAUUUAAAACUAAUGAUGGGUACAAAGAGCAGUACAAAUUGAUAACUUAGUUUGCAAAAAUGAAUUUAAAUGAGUUUACAAAAAGUUAAAAUAAAUGGGUUAUAAAUGGGUAAUUGGGUUACUCAAUUCAUUUUUUGACUUAUCCAUUUAUACCCAUCUAUUUAAAUGGGUAUAAAAUGGGUUGACUCAUUUAUACCCAUUACCCAUUUUACCCAACCCAAACCCGUCCAAGUCACCCAUUUUGACACCUCUAUGCAUAUGUAUAUGCAUCUAUAUCAAUUCAAAUAUGUACUUUCAGAUAUCUACGUAGUUCACCAAAGUGCACAUUAUAUUAGUUGGUGCAGCUUUGUAUUUGCAUAUUCGAAUGUGUGUUCACCAAUUAUGGCAGCAAAGGGGAGAAAGAACAUUGCACGGCCAUCAAUUGGAUCAUCAGAUCUCAUCUAUAAAGUAAUAAACCAAAGUUAGAUACCUGCCUCUAGUUUGGAAGUUUAGGAUAGAAAAGAAAAGAAAAGAUACCUUAAGUUAUGAAAGAAAAGAAAAGAUGGGAAAAGGAAAGAAGAGAUUUUAAUGUUGUUUGAGAGCUUAAAAGAAGAAACGAAAAGAUUUUGGAUAUAUAUGUCAUUAAAAAACACAAUUGGCAUUUCGAAAAAAAUUUUUAGGUACUCUUCCACUUUUUAUCCAAAAUAGGCAGAAAACUUUUCUCUACUGUGGCUUCAAAAUAGAUCUAACCAAAUCAGCCCAUCUCCCUUCUUUUCCUUGCAAACGAGGAAAAUUGAUUUCCUUUAUCGCUUUCUUUACUUUUCUGGCCAAAUCUCUCCACCCAAACGCACUUUUCUUCGGUGUUUUUCAACCGUUUGGAGCAGACCCAUGUUAAUAACGCAAAAUAUCAAGUUAAAGUUUUUUUCUUUUUUCUACAACGACAACAUUUAUCUUAUUUUUACACCAACCUACAUUAUAGGGGAAGGGAAGAGUAAGAAGUCUUGUCUGAGAGUUGGGGGUAAACCAUUAGACCAAACAAGUACACCACUGUACUUUCUAAGAUUUUUUAGAAACAAAGGAAGCACUGUACUUCCUUAUGAUGCAAUCGAGUUUGAAAACCUAAUCUGGUCAUUGGCCAAGGCCCAAUAAUCAUUAAAGCCGGGCAAGUAAAUGGAAAUUCUCUACUAUGUCUUUAUUCCCAUAACCAGGACUUUUGAUGGAAAUAUGGACUCACCAAUCAAGGCAAUUGAAUCAGUUAAACUCCUACUACUAUCACAAAAAAAAUAUAAUAUAAAAAUAAAAAAUUUUAUUUCUUGCUAAGCUGAAAGAUGACACGUCAUUUUGCAACUUAGUGCAACAAAAAGUUGUUUCAGGCAUUGGGUAUCAGUCAUGAAAUACCAUAUAUUAAGAAACCCUCAAUUUGUAAUAGCCAGAUGAAGUAUAAAGUGAAACAAAAGACCUUAGAACAAGAAGAAAUUUGGCCCUUUACUUGAUGGCUUGAUCCAUUAAGUAUUACUGUCUUAUCAAGUUUACUCCCAAGAGAUAUCCAACUCAAACCAAAUCACAGUAAAUAACCAAGCUGUCCUCACUACUCAGAAUCAUGCAGUAAAUCACAGUGGAUAAGCCACACCACAAAAGUAGUUUUUAAAAGCAUUCUCAAAAUCCUAUUGUUUACAGAAAUUUCAAGAAAAAAGUUCACAAAAUAAUUAAGGAAGUUGCCUAUUUCCUAAAGAAAUAAUGCUGGCUUCACUUCACUGACUUACUGAAAAGGAAUAGGAAAAUUGAAACUUAUAGCUUUCUUGGCGAGUCAGUUUAGCUGCUGAUUAGUUGUGGGGAGUGAAAAUUUUCUUAAUUUAUGACAUUAAUACUAUUCAUCGUACAAGACAAGCUGGCAAUCCUUUAAAAUUCUCACUACUCCUUCAAAAUUUUAAGAUAGAUAUAUUUGAACUUUCUAAGUUUCAAAAAAGAUCAAUAUACAUAGGGCCAGUUUGAAAUCCCAAAGGGUGCAAUGUGCGUCAUGCUUAUCUUAAGUUAAACCUAAAUUACUAAUUGAAUCAGUUGCUCACCGAGAUAACUGAUUGAAUAAAACAAAUAUAUCCCAUAAAGCGCUAUCAAAUUGCAUGGCAAAUAUGUUGUAUGAAUUUUCGGGACACCUUGAAUCUUAUAUACACUGUUUUAGGGCUGCAAACGAGUCGAGUCGAGUCGAGUUUUGAGCUAAUCGAGCCGAGUCUCGACUAAAUUUUACCAAGCUCGAGCUCGACGAGCCGGCAAAUUUCGAGCUCGAGCUCGACUCGAAUCAAGUCGAGCCGAGCUCGAGUUCGAAAAAAAUAAAAAAUAAUUAUUUUAUUUUUAAAAAAAUAAAUAAAAUAAUAUUUUUUUCUUAAUAAAUAAUAAAAUAUUAAGGAUAUAUACGUAAUUUUACUAUGAAAAUAAAAAAAUAAAAAAAAAUAUAUAUAUAUAAUAUACGUAAUUUUAUUAUUAAAUAUAUAUAUAUAUAUAUAUAUAUAUAUAUAUAUAUAUAUAUAUAUAUAUAUAUAUAUAUAUAUAUAUAUAUAUAUAUACCCAAUCUCGCGAGCCGGCUCGCGAGCUAACGAGCUUAAUAUUCUGAGCUCGAGCUCGAGCUCAAGUUUGACUCGAGCAGGCUCGAGCUCGACUCGAUCUCGAUAUUAAUCGAGCUCGACUCGAGCUUGACUCGAGCGGCUCGAUUCGUUUGCAGCCCUACACUGUUCGAGUUCUUUCAGCUAAUUGAUAGAAACUGCAAAAGACAUAAUCAUUGAUUCAAAGGAAAAGUUUAGACUGGCCAUUAAGCAAUCAGUAGUUCAAAAGGCAAGAUAAGACAAAGAUGUAGAGUUGAAUUUGUGAAUUCCACUUUAGCUAAAAAUGGAUGGCCUUGAAUUCAGAGCCAAAGAAUUCAUUCAAAAUAAUUGUCAAUAAUUCCAAGUAAUUUUCAUCAAAUCCACGAGAAUUGCCAGUGAUAGUAAUUCCAUUCACCAUUCAAGCAGUAAUCUUCAUCAUUUUCCAAAGAAAUACAGAGAUUUCAAACAAACAAGCAUUAUACCCCAUUUAGGAGGACCUCCGCGUUUCGCAUACCGCCAAUUCUUAAGAGCCUAUGAUUGGUUUUCUCAACUCAAAUAAGUGCAAUCUGCUAAACUUUUCUUCCUUGUGAUGUAAAUGGCCAUUAGCAGAGUUGGGCAGCAUGGAUUGCUUUGGUAAUCAAUGGACAUUGAGAGAACAAAAGAUUAUUGCCCUAAGUACCCUAGCUUUUAUCCAUAUGCGCGUCAACUAGGAUAGGGAUCAGUUUUAGUGAUUGCUGAGUUUAUAUGUUUUUUUUUACUAAUCUCUCUUGUACCCAAUAAAAUACACUUGUGCCAGGCAUUGACCCCAUUACCUAAUUUGCAUCUAUAAUUGAUGAUUGCCAGAAAAUGCAACAAUGAAUCAUACAAUCCAUCAGCACGUGCAAGUGCAGAUAAGGUCCGGGCCUUGAGUAAUAAACUAGGUAAGCCAUUUGCUUUUUAAAGGCUUUGUACCUGGCUUGAGAACAAAAGCCUUCAACGCAGACACAGUAUGAAAUCUAAGUCCAUUGUCCUAGUACAUGGAUUGGUAAAUGAGAAAUUACAAGCCAUCACACAUGUCAAGUACUCUUUAAUCAUGCCAUAAGCGAAAAACUACAACAGACGCUAAAGAACAGGUCAUUCGCAUUCAAGACUUUAAAGUCUUCAUCUUUUUGCAAAUUCGUGGAUAAGAAACCUUCCCCUUUCCUAGGUUAUUCAUCUGCUGAUUCCUCUUCUUACUUUUAUUAGCCUCUCGUUUAGAAUUCUUGAUGCAGUUAUGCUCUAACAAAGCUCUAUCCAAUUCAAGUCCAUCCAGCUAGGGGUGAGCAUCGAAUUCGAAUUCGGUAAUUCGGUAGGUUGAAAUCGGUAAUUUUCGGUAAAUGGUGUUGGGAUAUUUCGACCUAAUUCGUAUUCGAAUUACCAAAUUUCGAAUUCGAAUUCAAUUUCAGAUUGAAUUCGGUAAACACAAAUUGACCGAAUUGUCCGAAUUCCUGAAGCAAUCGCAGCCUGUUUUGCUUUGUAUAAUAAAAUAAUUUCUAGCAAUAAAAUAAGUGAUGUUCACAAUUAUCAUUCAUAAAGCUGCACCAAAAUAAUCAAAAAAUAGAAGUAGUAAUCACGUCCAUAGGCACAAUAGCCAGAUGAUUGCACUACCAAAUCACAACAUAUAAAACCUCUUCCCAGUAGCUACCGCCUACCAGUUCAAAACAGCAUUACUUAAGAAAUCACAAAUCCAAACAGAAUCUAGAAAACUUCAAAAUUACUAACUAUCCCAAACUUCAUACAUAUCCAGAAAUGACAAAUCCACAAAUCCAGAAAUCAUAAAUCCACAAUCAGAAAUUACAGAAAUCAAUCCAGAAAUCAUAAAGGUCAAUUAUCUAGAAACAAUCCACAAUCCACAAGAACAAACAAUUAUAGGUGGUUCAACUCUCAAACUUCAGCAUUUGUGACCUCUCAAAGGUCAAUUACAGUUGAUUCAGUUCCGGUCUUCAGCAACUCUGCAAGAACAAACAAAAUUCAUGAAGUAUCAUAAAGGCAAUUAUUAGAAAUAAAGAAAUACUUCAAAUUUUGCAAUAAAAAUUUUGAUAGCAUACCAGAUUCGAAGGCUUCAAGUUCUUCCAGAUUUUCUUCUACAUUUAAUUCUGUCUUGGAGGACCGAAACCAAUCUUGAGCACAUAUUAAACUUUGCACAAUUCUAGGAGUCAAAGAACUCCUAAAUGUAUCAAGAACACGACCUCCGGUACUAAAAGCAGAUUUGGAGGCCACAGUAGAAAUUGGGACUGCUAACACAUCACGAGCAAGUUUUGAAAGGAUUGGAAAUCUAAGGCUAUUGGCCUUCCACCAUAACAAGAUAUCAAAUCUCUCAUCAUCUUCCUCACAAUCCUCAUUCAAAUAUUUCUCUAAUUCAAAUUUUGCAUCCCUACCCCCAAGUUCCAUUUUUCUCUUCUUAAACUCCAACUUGUACCGAUCAGUGAUUGUUUUAGAGGCAUCCCCAUGUCCAUAAAAUGUAGUUUUACUCCUUUGAGAUUCACUUGAAAGUGAAGAAACAUGAGACACAGAAUUUGAGGCAGGUGUGUUGAGCAUCUUGUAUUCAUUAAACAGCUCAAACAUUGCAUCUUUUGCAAGGCCAGCUAUUGUUGUACCAUCGGACUCACCAUACAUUUGGCAAACCACAAAUUCAAGGUAUUCAAGUUUAGUUCGAGGAUCAAGCAUGGAGGAAAUAAAAAUCAGCAUAUUCAUCUUUUCAAUCUUUCCCCAAUACUUAUCAUAUUUCUCCUUCAUUGAUCUUGCCAUUGAACUUAAUUCUUCAUUAUCACUUGCUGCCAUUUCAAUUAAAAUGCCAUGUAUGUGACUAAUAUCAGUGAAAAAAUUAUUUGAAGUCACAUAUUUGGAACCAGAAACCUUCACGGUUAGCUGAUAAAAGUUCUCCAAAAAAAUUACCAAGAAUCUAGCUUUUGUCCAAUCAGAUUUUGUUGGCAGAUUUUCUAACUCUUGAAGCAUGUAAGGAUCCUGCUCCUCGAACCUCUCAAAAGCCCGCUCAAACCUUUGAGCCGUGUCUAGCAUUAGAUAUGUAGAAUUCCACCUAGUAGAGACAUCUAAACAGAGCAAUCUUUUGCAUUCAAUUUUUUCAAUUUCCACACAUUCCUUGAAUUUUUUCAAUCUAGAAGGUGACUGUCUAACAUAUCUAACUGCUGCCCUGAUACAAUCAACUGAAUCCCCCAGUUUUUUGAUGCCAUCAUUAACAAUUAGAUUCACUAUGUGAGCUACACACCUCACAUGAGUCCAUUUCCCCCCUAACACAGCUUUCCCCCAAUUUUGAAGUUUUCCUCGUAAAUAGCUGACAGCUACAUCAUUGGAACUUGCAUUGUCAACUGUAACAGUUAGGAUAUCAUCAACUCCCCAUUCUAGUAGACACUUUUCUAUGGCUUUACCAACUUCAGUUCCCUUGUGACUAGCAAUAGGACAGAAAUUUAGGAUCUUUUUAUUCAGUUUCCAAUCAUUAUCUAUGAAAUGGGCAGUGAGGCACAUAUAGUUUAUCCUUUGAAUGGAUGUCCAAGAAUCUGUGGUUAGACAAAUUUUGCCACUGUUAUUCUUCAAGAGAUGUUUCAACUUAAUUUUUUCAUCUAAAUACAGCUGAUAGCAAUCUCUAGAAAUAGUCCACCUCGAAGGAAUUCUAAAUGAUGGACAAGCAGUCCGCAUCAUGUAUUGAAAUCCUCUACCCUCUACAUGUUUAAAUGGCAACUCAUCAACAAUUACCAUAUAAGCUAUGCUUUUUCUAAUGGCUUCCGCAUCAAAUUUCCAACUUAUGAGUGCCCCUUUAACCUCUCCCUCUAAUGUUUCAGUUUCACCCAAACACAAAGUAGCCUGGCCAGUGUGCUUAUUUUUAGGAUUUAAAGGACAUUUAGCUACAUGAGUAUUAAGAGGAGUCGUACCAUGACUUUUGGGAUCCGCAGCUAUGUCCUUCUCACAGUAUUUGCAAAUUGCAUGACGAACUCCAUUCACAUGCUUUACAUGAAAAUGAUCCCAAGCUUUGGAACUCUUCUUGUACUCUCCUCUUUUCUUGCCAAAACCAGAUUCUUCACAGCUUUGUGUUGUAGGACUAGGAAGAAGACCUCUAGAUGAUCCUUCUUGUUCUAGCUCAUUGUGACUUGGAUUACUCUCACCAUCAUUAGUAGUAGACAUACCUUAAGUUUUGCGAGAAUCUGAGCAAAUAAAUUAUACAAUUUAGUGCAACAAUCAUUUAGCAAUAAAAUUGAAAUAAAAGACUAGAUGAAAUUGAAGCUCAGGACAACAUUCAAUGAACGCUGAGAAAAUCAACUAGAACCAACUCAGAACCAAUUAGAUGAAAUCUGAGCAAAUUCAAUGAAGCCAGUCACUUUCUUAUCAUAGAACAAACUCAAGACAGAAACCAUAUAGGAAGCAUUAACAUCACAAUGCAGAAAAAGAAGAGGUGAUUCAUUACUGGUUUAGUGCAAGUUAUCUAGAUUCAAACUGGGGCUCUAGUCUAGCUAGCUUGGAUGCUCUAAAGUGGGCCAAACAACAUUUGCCAGCCAAUAGGCAUACUCGACAGCACAAGUGUUGAAGAGCAACUGUAAACAGCUGAAAAAUGAGCCAGUACCUACCUAUCCUGGCCCUAGAAUGGGAUAGCCUUUCUGAACUUUGUCAACUUUUUUCCUUCCAAAGGGGAAAAAAAAACAUACAAGAGAAAUAAAAAAACAAGAAAGGAGGGAAAGUGAGAGAUCAAGAAACUAAAUCAAAAGAAAAAUUAAGGCUAAGGUAAAUGAAUCUUUGUAAUGAUUAUUUGGAAAAAGCAAACAUAUCCCUCAGAAUGCCUAAUAUCCACCUGGGAAGAAGCUAUGGUUCCUCAACCUUAGCACAAUCAGCAUUGCCAGAAGGGAGCACCAAUUUAUAGUCACAGCUUUCAGAUUACUAAAUGUUUCAUCAGUGGGAUAUCAAAAGUUUGAUAUAAUUAGUCAAGAAUCAACCUCCCACAAAUCUUGAAACUUCAAAUAAAUGAGAAGAAUUUAAAAAAAAAAAAGACCCAGAAAAUUUCAUUUAAAACCACAAACAGGAACCCCAACAACUAUAAAAAUCAAGAACAACAGAUAUAAAAGAAUGAAUGAAUCAGAAAAUUGGAUCAAAAGCAGAUUUGUAAAUGCAAAGAUUAAGAAGAAUGUUUUAGAGCAAGCCUUGAUGACAAAAUGUUUGCAGAUUUCAUUUUCUCCAUUAAGCUCAAAGCCUUGUCAAAACUUCCAAAAUUGAGAUGGACCUGUGCCAUUGUCGUGUAUGUUUUCUGAUCACUCAAUAGGCCAAGCUUCUCCACCUCUUCAAACGUCUUCUGAGCAUCCUCGUACAAACCAAGUUUUCCAUAUAUUCUAAUAAGUAAACCAUAAAUGACUUCAUCUGCAACUAUGCCAUAUCUUUCCAUUUCAGAGAAAAGAGAAAGGGCUUUCCAAUAAUCCCCAAUUUUCUAGUUCAAUUCGAAUCCAAUCCACCUAAACUACUCUUAUCCAAUUCAAAAACUCAUAACUUUUAUCAAGAUUCAAUCAGGAAGGAAAUUGAGCAUCAAACAUCAUACAAGUUCCACUGAAAUUAAAUUAGCCCAUAUAAAAAAACUAGCAAAUUAAACAACGACAUCCAGAAUCAAAUACCAAAAUAAAAAAAAAACACCAAAUGAAAAUCCAAUUAUUGAGUCUUUUUCAUAAACCCAUUUAUCUGAUAGGCUUAUCCAAGGCUUCACUGGAAUCAGCACCAGCGAACUGUGGUCCUGGACCUCCUGGUGAUAGUGGAUGCUCGGUCAGCAAUGGUGAAACCUCGGUCAGAAUGGGAAACGGAGAAAGAGUCUAGGGGUGAGCUUUGAGCUUUCUGUAGUUGAGGAGAGGAAAGGACAGAGGACUGACUGAGGAGAGGACUGAGCAGAAUGAGGAGAGGAGAAGAAACGAGAGAAAGAGGGGAACUGAAGAAGAUGGGACUGCGCCGCGGCAGUGCAGAGGAGCGAGAGGAAGAGGGGACGAAGAGCGGAAGAGGCCUGGAGAAAAGUAGCGAGUUUAGGCUUUAGAAUUAGGGCACCACGUCUGAAAAUCUGAAAUUGGACCAAUAUGAAUAUCGGACAUAAUGAACUACUUCCUAUGUAACUUAAUUCGGGAAUUUCGAAAUUGAAAAUGGUAUAUUAUUACCGUUUUACCGAAAUUAAUUCGAAUUCGGUAUAUCCGAAUUCAAAAACUAUAAAACCGUUUUCGAACCUAAUUCGAUUUUAACUAGUACUAUAUCCCCGAUUUACCGACCGAAUUACCGAAUUACCAAAUUCGAUUUACCAAAUUGAAAUCAAUUUCGGUCGGUAAAUCGGUAUUUACCGUAAUUGCUCACCCCUACAUCCAGCGAUGCUAAGGUAAUGCAAUAAGGAAGCACAGUAGGGUGAUAUUUAAAAUGAUAUCCCAGCUUCACAACAUCAGAGUGCUGCAAUAUCCCUCUAGAGCUGAAGUUGUACGACGUAACAUAUCCUCCAGUCCUUGUAAUUAAAACCUCAUUGUGAAAUGGCAAGGGUUUCAAUUCAAAAUUAAAAUGCCCUCUAGGAGGAGAUUUUGAAUAGGAUGGCAAUAAAUAUGGAUCAUCUACUACACACCAAAGCUUCUCAAUGAAACCAGCUAGAGGCAACUGGUGCUUCAACAUCCAACUAGGCUCACGAUAACUUUCUAACUUCCAGACCUGAACUUCACACCUAUAAGCAAAUAUAUAAUGGAAAUCUCUCCUAGAUUCCCCUAAGCAGAUACCUACGUGACAUUCAUACUAUCAUAAGGUAUAACACUAGGUAACUUGAUAAUACUUCAUAGUUCCUGCUCAACACGAAAAACUACAAUGUGGUGGUCAUAUGUCAACCAGUAAAACCUCUCCUUCACAAAAUCAUUGGUUUUCCAUAAAUAUUGGAGCUACAAUUACAAACUUCCUUGGAGAUUUUCCUGCUCCACGUCUUUGAUGAGUGAAUAGCAAAAGCAUAUGCAUUUGGGAUUUCUUUUGAGUGUAUAAUGCUUACCAACUUGAAAUUUAAUGAGUUUCGUGAAUUGAAUGGAGAGAUAAACAUUAAAGUCAUAGCAAGGGAUCCAACUUUUCCAAAUUAUUUAGUGCUUACAGUAGUCCACUAAGUGUAGUAAUUGUACUUAAUGUUGUUAGAAAUAUUUAUUGCUGUUAGUUAAUCAUGUUUGUUUGUUUUGUUCUACCUAAUUAGUGGAGUUAGUGAAGUUAAUGGAGUAGUUAGUAAAAUUAGUGGAAUUAGUGGAGUAGCUAGUGGAAUCAUUAGUAGAGUUGUUUUGAACUCUAUAAAUAGAACAAUUUUAUGUUAUGAGUUGAGGAUCAGUUUUACAAAGAAAUAAAGUCUAGUUCUUUACUUUUCUUAUUUUUCUCAGUAAUUAUAUCAGUGGCAUCAGAGCUAAGUUUGUGAGUAAAAAUAAAAGUGAGUUGUGAGAUUUGUAUUGGUAAAUCACGAUGGCCACUGACAACUUUAUGUAUCCAGCAGUUACUCGUUUUGAUGGUCACUAUGAUCAUUGGAGCAUGCUAAUGGAGAAUUUCUUAAGAUUCAAGAAGUAUUGACAGGUUGUCGAAUCUGGAGUAACAAAGCCAAAAGCCAGAGUAGUAUUGUCAAAGAUGCAGAAAACAGAGUUGGAAGUAUUGAAACUAUUGAUCGAACUAUCUUGGAGAUAAUUUUUAGCAAAGAUACUUCCAAAUAGAUUUGGGAUUCCAUGAAAAAGAAACAUCAAGAAAAUGCGAUGGCAAAAUGGGUGCAGUUUCAAUCUCUUCAGACUGAAUUUGAGACUUUACGCAUAAAGUCAAGCGAGUCGAUCACAUAUUAUUUAGCAAGAACGAUGGCAAUCGCUAAUAAGAUGAGGAUCUAUGGAAAGAAUUUGGAGGACGUUACCAUUGUCGAGAAGAUUCUUCAAUCGAUAACAGCAAAAUUUAAUUUUGUUGUAUGCUCUAUAGAGGAAUCAAAAGAUAUUGAUGCACUUUCAAUUGAUAAGUUGUAGAGUUUUUUAUUGGUUCAUGAGCAAAAAAUUAACCAAUAAGAGAAAGAGGAGCAAACAUUGAAGGUUUCAACAGAAAGUCACCUAACAUAGAUAGGAGGUAGAGACAGAGGUAGAGGUAGAGGAAACAAUAAUUGUGAUAACCAACAACAACAAUACCAGCACCAAGAAAAUCAAUUUCAAUAAAGAAGAAGAGGACGAGGAAGCCAUCAAUUAACAAUUCAAAGGCCAAAGUCAGUAGACAAGUCUAAUGUUGAAUGCUACAAAUGUCAUAUGUAUGAUCAUUAUCAAUCAGAAUAUCGAACUAAUUUGAAUAGACAAAAUGGAGAAAGAACUAACUUUGCAGAAAAAGAAGAAAAAAUAUCUCUUUUAAUGGUGUAUCACAUGAGUGAAGAAACUCAGCAAGACGUAUGGUAUUUAGAUACCGAUUGUAGCAAUCACAUGUGUGGAGAUAAAAUGACAUUCUCUGAAUUGAAUGAGUCAUUUCAUAAUACUGUCAAAUUUGGUGAUAACUCUACAAUUUUCGUUAUGAAAAAAAAGAAGGGUAACUACCAAACUAAAGAAAAUUUUACUCACAUUAUCGCUGAUGUUCUUUUUGUUUCAGAUUUAAAGACAAACUUGUUUAGUGUGAGUUAAUUGUUAGAAAAAGAAUACGAGAUUUCUAUCAAAGAUAGAGUAUGUCGGGUUCGAGAUGCAAAGUUGGGCUUAAUUGCUCAAGUUAUAAUGAUGACAAAUCAUAUGUUUUUACUCUAUUUGCAGAAUUUAACUCAUUCAUGUUUUUCAGCAAAAUCGACAGAUGUGGCAUGAUCAUGACAUUUUCAUUAUGGACACCUAAAAUUUAGUGGAUUAAAGACUUUGCAGCAGAAAAAUAUGGUGGCUGAUCUACCUCAAAUUAUAAUUUCUUCAGAAGUUUAUGAAGAGUGUAUCAUUAGUAAACAACAUCAAAAUAGUUUUUCAAAAAAAAUCAUGGAGAGCAAAGAACGUAUUGGAGGUGGUUCACUCUAAUUUAUGUGGACCCGUAAAUCCGCCAUCUCAUGGUGAAAAACGGUAUUUUAUGAUGUUUAUUAAUGAUUAUAGUUGAAAAUUUUGGAUCUAUUUUUUGUAGAAACAAUCUGAAGCAUUUUCAAUUUUCAAAAAUUUCAUGACUCUUGUCAAAAAGGAAGCAGACAAGUCUAUAAAGAUUCUUCGCAAUGAUCGUGGUCGAGAAUAUAAUUCACAAGAAUUUAUAAAUUUUUAUGAGAAGCAUAAAAGUAGCUUACAACAACUUAUAUACCACAACAAAAUGGUGUUUCAGAGAGAAAGAAUUGUACAAUUUUGAAUAUGAUAAGGACCAUUUUGACAGGAAAUGAUGUUUUAAAAAGUUUUUGAUCUGAAACUGUCAACUGAAGCAUUCAUAUAUUGAACAGAAGUCUCACAUUUGCUAUUAAAAAUAUAACACCAGAGGAAGUAUGGAGCGGAUAGAAAUCAACAGUGGAUCACUUCAGAAUUUUUAAAUGUAUUGUCUGUACUCAUAUUCCAGAGCAAAAGAAGACAAAACUAGAUAAUAAGGGAGAGCAAUAUAUUUUUCUUAGUGUUAGUGAUCAGUCAAAGAUCUAUAAAUUUUAUAAUUCUAUCACUAAGAAAAUUGUCAUCAGUUAAGAUGUAAUUUUUGAUGAGAAAAAUUGUUUACCAUGCAAUAACAAAGUUAGUAAACAACAAAUACCUGCUAAUUUUGAUAGAGUUGAUGAAAAGAAUAUACAGCAAUUGACAGAACAAAUUCCACCAAAUGGUUCAAAUGAUAUUCCAAAUUUCCAAACAGUAGCAGAAGAUGAAGGACGACCUCAACAUAUUAGAAAAAGACCUGUAUGGAUGAUCGAUUAUGAGGUAACUAAAAUUGACCAAUAUGAGAACCCACUUGCAUACUUUACUCUAUUUUUCGAUUGUGAUCUUACAAUUUUUGAAGAGACUAUCAAAGAUUUAAAGUAGCAGAAGGCAAUGGAUGAAGAAAUUGCAACUAUUGAACGAAACAAUACAUGGGAGUUAACUGAUCAUCCAGACGGACAAAAGUCAAUUGGUAUCAAUCGAGUGUAUAAGACAAAAUUGAAGAAGAAUGGAGAAAUUGACAAAUACAAGACACGUUUAAUAGCUAAAGGCUAUAAGCGAGAGUUUGGGGUGGAUUAUGGAGAAAUCUUUGCCCCAGUCGCAAGGUAUGACACGAUCAGGAUAGUGAUUGUAUUGACAGCACAACAUUCAUGACCUAUCUUCCAAUUGGACGUGAAAUCAGUAUUUUUACAUUGUGAUUUACAUGAACAGGUAUUUAUUGAUCAACCUCCUAACUAUGUGAAUGUUGGAAAUGAACAUAAGGUAUACAAAUUCAAAAAGGUAUUAUACAGAUUAAAACAAAUCCCACAUGCUUGGUAUAGUCGUAUAGAUACUUAUUUUUCUAAGGAGGGAUUUAAAAAGUUUUCAUAUGAGCAUACACUUUUUUAUAAAGAUUGGAAAUGGAGAUAAAUUGUUCAUUGUUUGCUUAUAUGUUGAUGAUCUUAUUUUUACUGGAAAUGAUAGUGCAAUAUUUGAGAAAUUCAAGAAAUCUAUGAUGGUUGAAUUUGAUACGUUUGAUCUCGGAAAGAUACAUUACUUUUUGGGUAUUGAAGUGGUGUAAUCUACUGUUAAAAUUUUUUUUCUCUCAAAAAAAAUAUGUGAAAGAAAUUCUAAACAAGUUUCAAAUGAAAAAUUGUAAUUCUAUUAGCACGCCAGUUGAAAUGGGUUUAAAAAUCAUUAAAGAACUUGAAGGAAAUAAAGUUGAUAGCACCCUUUACAAGCAAAUUGUAAAAAGCCUCAUGUAUUUGACAGCCACAAGGCUUGAUAUUAUGCAUGCAAUAAGUCUUAUUAGUAGAUACAUGGAAAAUCCAAAGGAGACACAUCUUCUAAUUGUCAAGAGAAUUCUUCGAUACUUGCCAGGAACCAUUGAAUAUGGACUGUUUUACAAGAAUGAUGAAAAAUCAAAUUUAUUUGGUUUUAUUGACAGUGACUAUGCACACGAUCUUGAUGAUAGAAAAAGUACGUGUGACUAUAUAUUUAUGAUGGAUUUAGCAGAUAUUUCAUGGUGUUUAAAGAAACAAUCAAUUGUUACUUUAUCAACAACUAAAGAAGAGUACGUAGCUGCAACAGCUUAUGCCUGUCAAGCAAUUUGACUAAGAAAAAUCCUUGAAGAAUUGCAUUUUCGGUAAGAAGGAGUUACUAUAAUUUAUUGUGACAAUAGUUCUGCCAUCAAACUUUCUAAAAAUUUAGUUCUACAUGGAAGAACUAAGCACAUAGACAUGAAAUUUCACUUUCUAAGAUAGCUUACAAGGGAUGGAAUAAUUGGUUUUCUCUACUGCAAAAGUGAAGAUUAGAUUGCUGACAUAAUGAUCAAACUAUUGAAAUUAUCCACGCUUCAAAAAUUACGGAAGCUGCUUGGAGUCUGUGCAAUUGAUAAGUACUAUUAAACUGAAUGUGUGAAAAACUUUCAGUUUAAGGGAGAGAUUGUUAGAAAUAUUUACUGUUGUUAGUUAAUCAUAUUUGUUUGUUUUGUUUUACCUAAUUAGUGGAGUAACUAGUGGAAUUAGUAGAGUAGCUAGUGAAAUUAGUGGAGUAACUAGUGAAGUUAGUGAGAUAGUUAAUAGAGUUAUUUUGAACUCUAUAGAGAAAUUUUAUGUUAUGAGUUGAGUAUCAACUUUACAAAGAAAUAAAAUCUAGUUCUUUGCUUCUCUUAUUUUCUCAGUAAUUAUAUCAAACGUUCCUCAAUGUAAAAUGAUAAGGAAGUAGACCAUCUAAGAUAAAAGCAACUGAUAGAGAAUUUUGGUUGACUCUAGUGGUUUGAGAAAUUUGUUGGAGGUACAAGUCUAGAGAUUUCUAAAGGGGUAAGAAUAUGAAAUUAUUUUUCCAUAACACUGACAAUAGGAGAAAAGUUUUAUAUUCUAUUUCCUUUUAAUUAGACAAUUUAAAGUCAAUUAUCAAAUAUUCACAUGUCACUAUUUGGAUUUUUUUCCCUCUAACAAAUUUUGCUUAUUAGGCUCUUUUUUUUUACAAUUUUUUUAAAAGUAAUUAAUUAUUAAUAUGUUCCCUAAUAUAUAUGAUCCUCUCGUGUGAAACUUUACUACCAUCAAUUAGAGUAUUCAAAAUUGACCCAUAGGUUAAAUUUCAUUAGGGAAUAGAAGUAGAUAAUUUAAAACUAAAUACUUAUCAUGAUAUAGGAGUAUUUUGUCUUUGAAGAGAUUAAGUGAUACAAAAUAAAGGUUAGGAGGUAAGGUAAGGAUCAGGUAUUGCUUAGGGGUAAGUGCAGUUUAUCCUCUUAAGGUAUAUCUGAUUCUUACUUUAUUCUCUAACAUUUAUAUUUUAUGUUAUUUAACCUCUUGAGAGAUAAAAAAAUCUCCCUCUACUAUGUAAAUUCUGGGUUAAUUAUAAAAACUUCCACUAAAGUUUAACUAGUUUUGUACUUUACCUCAUAACAUUAUUUUUUCUCACUUUACCCCCUAAACCGUUAGUCAGCUCUAACAUUGAGUAACAGAAAUGUCAAAAAGAUAUUGAUACCCCUAAGGGCUAAUUAUAGUGAAUCUCCUUCAAGUAUAUCUAUUUUGUACUUUCUUCUUUAAUAUCAUUUUUCUCUUAAUUUGUCUAUUCGUACCUAAAAUCAUUUGUCAACUCUAAUAUUUUUUAUUACUCAACAUAAAUUUUUUAGAUGUAAUAAAAAAAUUUCUUUAGAAAAAUUUAGCAAAUCAAAUAAAUUUUAAUAGCAUCUAAACAUGGUGAACAACUCUUAAAAUUUUGAACUCCAAAUCAAUCAUGUUUCUCUUUUUUAGUGUUAUUAAUACAAAAAAUGUAUACUUUCAUAUAAAAUAUAUAGCUAUUAAAGCCAUAUGCACAUUCCUAAAAAGAAACUGACAAUAUUCCAAUCAUUUGUAGACUUUUAAAAAUAUUUUUCAUAUUUUAUUUAAUAAUAAUUUUUGUUUGUUUUUCCCACUAUUGAAUCUAAUUAGCAAGAUAUUCUCCUCAACCCAAAAAAAUGUGUAAUUAUGGAAUGAAAUUUAACUAGGAUCAUAUAUAUAUAUAUAUAUAAAUUAUUAUUAUUUUUUAUUUUUUUAAAAUAUUGGUUUUUUAGAUAUUAAUUAUUCUAGGUGUUAUCAAAUAUUGGAGUUCAUUAUUGAUUUUAGUAAUAAAUAAAUAAAUUGAUAAAAAAAGAUAUUAGGGGAUAAAGAAGAAAACAAACAAUACUUUAAGGGGAUUUAGCGUAGUUAGCUCUUAGGGGUAUAAAUAUCUUUUUGACAUUAUCAUUAAACAAUGGGUUAAUCACAUUUUAUCCCAUUAAACAAUACCCCAUUUCUCAGUUUACCCUCUAACCUUUAAUUUUGUUCACUUAACCCCCUUUAGGACAAAAUUGCCCUUACAUUAUUUUGACUUUUCAUUUACCUUAUUUUCCUUUCUUUUAUUUCUUUUUCUCUUUCUUCUUUAUUUAAUUCUUCCUUUUUCCCACAAAAAUCUUCACCUUAAUGAUUGAAAUUAAAAAAGAGGAAUUGUAGAGAUCUAUCUUUUCCUUAAAUGAUUAAAAAAAAUUCAAAUCACUUUCCUAAAAUACAAUUUUUUUUAGCCUUUCAAUUCUUUUAAUUUUGGGUUUUCCUCUUUCCUUUCUAGUUUCUCAUUUUAUUCCCAAGAAAAUAUCUUAAGAUGAAAUUGUGACCUGAUUAAUAAUUAUCAAUUGAAAUUUGUGACACGUGACAUCAUACAAAAAAUCAAAAUUAGUUUUUGAUGUCUUUUAAACCUUCGCCCAAAAAUAUGCGAUUACAAACUCAAAACAAAAUUUUUUUGUGGAAAUCGAAUUUUCUAUUGGGAAGGAUGAUAGAGAGAAGAAAGAGAAAAAGAAAUAAAAGAAAGGAAAACAAUUUCAUCUUAUGAUAUUUUUUUGAGAAUAAAAUGAGAAACUAGAAAGGAAAGAGGAAAACCCAAAAUUAAAAGAAUUGAAAGGCUAAAAAAAUUGUAUUUUAGAAAAGUGGUUUGAAUUUUUUUUGAUCAUUUAAGAAGAAAAUAGAUCUUUGUAAUUCCUCUUUUUUAAUUUCAAUCAUUAAGGUGAAGAUUUUUGUGGGAAAGAGGAAGAAUUAAAUAAAGAAGAAAGAGAAAAAGAAAUAAAAGAAAGGAAAACAAGGUAAAUGAAAAGUCAAAAUAAUGCAAGGGCAAUUUUGUCCUAAAGGGGGUUAAGUGAGCAAAAUUAAAGGUUAGGGGGUAAACUGAGAAAUGGAGUAUUCUUUAAGGGGAUAAAAUGUGAUUAACCCAUAAACAAUAUUAGAAUUGACCAAUAGUUUAGAGGAUAAAGUGAGAAAAAAAUAUUAUGCGAUAAAAUGCAAAAGUGAAAUACCUUAGGGGGAGUUUUUGUGAUUAUCCCUAAAUUUUUUUUCCUUAUUUUGUCUUUCUUCUCUUUUUCAUUCCAACUUGGUUUUCUUUUAUCAAAUUUUUAUUUUUGAAAAAAAUAAACUUCUUUAACAAAAAAUUUAGGAUGUCUAUUCUCUAAUUUACCAAAUUGAAAAUUGUAUAUAAUUUUUACAAAUCAAUUUAAUAUAUUUUUUUGAAUUUAAGAAAUUAAGAAAAAAAUUUAUUCUAUUUUUUAUAAUUACACUAUUCACAGUCAAUCACCCAUUUUAUAGUCACACAUUCACAUGUCAGCAUUGAAUAUUUUUCCUAGGAAAAAUUGCUAGUUUGAUACCUCACAUUUUUAGAAAAAAACUAUUUUAGUCAAUCACAUUUAAAAUCAGCCAAAACAAUCUCUCAAGUAUAAAAUUUCUGCCCGUUUUGUCCCAAAGCUCAAUUUUGCUCUAUUUUUCGACAAAAAAUGCAUGAGUACUUCAUGUGCUUAUAAUUAAGGCAAAAUGAAACACUCGAUUUUUUAUUUUGGCUGUUGGUAUAACCAACUUACUAUUAACAAUAUGGCAGAAAGAAAUAACAAAAAAGGAGCUCCAAUAUAAAUGUUUUCGUUGGUGCAUAAACUGAUUGUAUAUCAUCACUAAUAAACACUAAAAUAGGUGAUAUUCAUUGGAUCAAGUGUAUCCUCUCGAUUAAAAGCUUUCACAGCCCAUUUACUAAAAUAAGGAUUCCAAAUUGCAUGAGCAAUACGCCUUAUGUGUAAAGAGUUUAAUGGAUGAAAAUUGAGGGAAAGAUAAGGCCAUGUGUAUCAGUGUGUGUGGGUGUGUGUGUGUGUGUGUUUUUUUUUUAUUUAAGGGAAACAAAUUUUGUUCCCAUUUUGAUUUUGAAAUUAUAGGUAUGUGAGAUAGAUGUGCAUUUUUUGGUAGAAAUUGAGGAAAAAUGAGCUCUGGAACCAAAAAUACAAAACUUUUACAUGUAAGGGACUAUUUUGGUUGAUUUUAAAUAUGAUGGUACAAAAAAGCUUUUCUCGAAAAUGUGAGGCACCAAUUUGACAAUUUCCCCUUUUUUCUAUAAUGAGCUUUUGCUUAUUAGGAUUUUUACACCAUUUUUCAAAAAUAUAAUUAGUUAUUAGUGUAUUCCUUAAUAUAGACACUCAUCUCAUACGAAAAACUUUACCACUAUCAAUUAAAAUGGUCAAAAAAAGUUUAAUGAUUAAAGAAAGUAAAAUAUUUGAAAAUAAAAACAUAGUAUAAUAGAGGGAUAUUUUUUUGUCUCUUAAGGGGUUAAGUGACAAGAAAUAAAAGUUAAGGAGUAAAGUGAAAAUCAAGAUAAACCUUAAGGACAUAAACUGUCAUUAACCCUACCUUAUAGUUUACACUUAAUAAAUUUCGAUACAAGAAAAGAAAGAAUCCACUAAUAUUGUAUAGGGAUCGUAACGUAACCGGAUGGACCAAAUGGGCUACCUUCAACAAUAAAAAGCAAAGGAGAAUAUAUUUAAAAAAUAAUUAUUUAAAAUCAGAAUUUAUAAAAAGAUAAAAAGCCCUUAAUUAGUAGGUCGCAGGCAAUCUUACACAAGAACAGAUAAUUCCAUGGGUCAAGUUGCAAUUCUACCCAGAAGAAAAUAAACCAAAACAAGAGGGCAAAAAUAAAAAAAAGGGGGAAAAAAUUUAACCUGAUUCAGAAAUACUAGUGCCACUCCAUCACUUGAUAUGAUUCAAAAUUAACCUGCAGCUCUUCUUGAGCAACAGAAGACGAUGUCGUUUGGUGCCUGUCUAUCAUCCCCAGCUUCCCUUUCUCUCUUAUGCAGCGGCAAACCGUCCAUUAAUGGCUCUCGAAUUUCUGCUUCCGCUGAAGUUCCUGACUUCCUCUCUGCUGAUUGGUACUCUCUCCUUUUCUUUAAUUCCAUCUAUGAACGUUACAUUUAUCGGAAUAAUUAUACUUAUCUUUUUCUUGUUAUUUAUUUAAUUCAUGAUUUCGAAUUUCGAAUUUGUAUUUAGGAGAAAGAUUUAACACUGAUUAUAGAUUAAAAAAUUGUAAAGAAGAUUAAAUAAUUCGUGUUUCAAACCCAAUUUUAUGAGGGAAUUCAAGUAAAAAAUCCCAAAACGAUACAAAAAACCCCAUUUAUUGAUCCUGUAAUGUAAUUAAUGCAAGAUUGUAGGUACAUAUGAUUUUUGCUGUCCCCGAACUCAACUUGGAUGGUAGGAAAUUUGCCAAGUAACUCUGAGUUCCGGGUUUGACUCAAAAGCCCUUUUCCUUGAAUCGAAACGAAAUGGAACAUAUAAUUCUUGCUAAAGAAUCCAACUGUACAUUUUUGGUGUCACUUUGAAAGUGCAAAGAAGCCCAAUCAUUUCAAGCAUUGUCUUGGUAUUUGAGAAAAUUUUGUAUAGCUUGGCUUUUUAAUGAGCCAGUUGGAUUCCAAAAUUUAAACUUUGUAACGGGUUGAGAGAAAUUAACGAAAAGCAUAUGAUGUACAUAAUUGUAAAAUCUGCUCUUUGAAACUGCUGAAUAGUCAAACAACUCAGCGGAAAUGGAAGUCUGAUGGUCGAGAUUGCUGUGCACUUGUAGUUUUUGACAGGACAUGUUUAGCUGCCUGGCAUGAGUUUUGAAGUCAGAAACUCUUCUGUAAUGUGAUUAUUAUCUAUGGUCCUAUUUUGGAGAUUGGAGUUGGAGAGUUUAGAUGUUUUCUUUCUUUCCUUGCUCUAGUUCUUGAAAAUUUAUCUGCGCUAUGAUUUUUAUUUCUCAAUUUAUCGGAGAGUUGUCUUCACUUCAGGCAUUGCUUAUUGAUAAGUUAGCUUCUGUGGAACUAAUAAGUAAUGUUCUUCACAUUUUGCAGGCUUGAAUCUCGCAGGAAAAGGCCUUUCGGCCCAAGACUCAGUGUAAUUCCCUCAUAAUAAAAUCUGUUAGCAUACUUGAUCCUUGCUAUCAGUUUACUAUAUGAAUUGACAUAAUUGAUUUACUGUAGUUUAGUGCAGAAGAAGCUGUCCAGCACCAGCUCGAUGCAUUGAAGUACAAUGAUCAACGACGUCAAGAUUAUGGGAUAGAGGUUAUAUACAGGGUAAUUGCUAAUCUGGAGUACCUUGCUGUUGGUUCUGAAUUCCCAUAAUGCUUGUGGGUGUGAAUCAUCUCAUCUGCCUUGUACAGUUUGCUGGAUUUGAUCCAUUUGAAAGGUCCACAUACUUUGGACGCUUCUUUGAUUUGGGGCAGGUGAGUAACAUUUCGGCAUUCACUGUGCAGAGUAUACCUUGAAAUCGAAAAGCUUAAACUUUUACUCUUAUCCUAUGUCAUCCGAUAUUCUCAACCUUUUUUGGUUGCAUAGACAUUAGAAGCCUCUUUGUAAAUUUUCAAACGAUAACUGACAUGAUUCAAAAAAAUUCACAUACAUACACGUAUAUGUAUGUAUGUAUGUAUGUAUGUAUGUAUGUAUGUAUGUAUGUAUAUAUGUAUAUAUGUGAAUCAAAACCUUGAACUUUUACUCUUAUCCUAUGUCAUCCGAUAUUCUCAACUUUUUUUGGUUGCAUAGACAUUAGAAGCCUUUUUGUAAAUUUUUAAAAGAUUAUUGACAUGAUUCAACAAAUUCACAAAAAAAAAAAAGAAAAAGAAACCUAUUAUUAGCUUCAAGUUUUGUGGACUUGAAGAAAAAUAAUUUAAUGAGAUCAAGUAGAAUAGACUGCUGGUUUGAAUGUAAAGUCAGUUUUAUCAGCUAAUAUUUGAGAGAAGGGAUAAUGAUUAAUUUGUCACUCAAAGAACCAAAAGUACAGGUUCACUAAAGUCCAGUGGUGGCAGUAAUACUGAAAAAUCAUAUUAUACAAAAUUGGAGCACAAGAUGCUCUGUGUGCUAAAUUCCUUUCUUUAUUGCUUUAUUCUGUAUGUAGUUUGAAAGGUUUAGGAGGAUAUUUCAUCAUUCUACAUAUCGAGUUUUACUUGGUCACCAAGAAAGGAAGAUCUUGAGCAGUUUGUAUCCAAAAGAGGUUAGUCAAGGUUUAAAGUAAUUUCUUAAUAGUAUUGACGAACUAACACAUCUUAGUUGAAUUUUACCAAGUCAUUGCUGGAAUAAACAUGGUUAUAUGAUGACCACCUCUGGGGGAAUGUGUGUGAAACAGAAUUGCUAUAAGCAAAGGAUUUGGGUUCGAGGAGCUCGACCUGAGGAAGAAGAAAUCUUCCAAUUUACCAUGGUUCAGGUUUGACCAUUGCUCUUCUCUGAUGACUAAGUGCACCAUGUAUUUGAGAAAUAUUGUUUUGUUGCUGGAGUUGACAUAUUGUUCAUUUAUGAGCUCAUACUAGUCUGAUCGUAUUUGCCGCAACUAGUGAUAUGCAGUAUGCUGAAUAUUGCCAGCCUUGUAAUCUAUUUGGUUUGCUUCCUUUGUUCCCCUUUUUCAUUGAUAUUGCAGCGAGUUGGUGGUUCUUGGGAUGGUUAUUGGCUGACAGAAUCAUUACUGCAUGAUGGAGAUUGUUUUUCUGGUGGCUUGGCGUAUUGACUGUUGACCCUGCUGUUUGAUGAUGGAAAUCGUAAAUUUACUAUUAGCAACGUGGGUUGCUUGCUGAAUUACAGGUUCUGUAGAUAUGCAGUAAAAAUUCAAAUCAUCGGAAUUUCUAUUAUUAAGUUUUCUUGACCUUGUACAUAUAAACCUGUACAGAAACUUCAGUCAGUAAAAGUAUAGCCUUAUGCAGAAGACACAAUUUAUAGCAUCCUAACAUGGAGCCUUUGAUUUUUUCUUAUCCUAAAGGUAAUGGAAACUUCUAGUUAUUGUUCCACUAUGUAGGUGGUGUAAAUGGUCACGACAUGAAAAUCUCCAUGUUCAGCAAUAUGUUCAUCCAUUUCAUCCUAUUUUGGUGGAAAUGACCACCUCCAACCCCAUAAAGAAAAUACAAAUAUGCAAGGCAGACAGGUGCAUCCGAUGGUGUAGUUGCAUCCAUCAAAGUAAAACUUAUUGAUGGUUCUAUAUUCUCAGAAACAGGAAAUUAUGGUGUCAAGCAUUUGCGAGAUAAUAACUACCAGGCAGCAUUAUAUUUUCGCAUGUCCGCCCAAAAAACAUUCUUUUUGACUGGGGUGUACCGGGGCCUUGGUUCUAAAUUGUUGACAUUCAUACUUACUUUUCUCCUUUUCAGAUCUUGUUUUAAGAUAGUUUAGGGGCUUGGUAGAGUUUGGGGGUGUGUCCCAAACUCUGGUCUUCUCCCACCAUUGACAAGCUUCGAUUGCUCACUGUUGUUUUCUGUCCAAAGAUUGUUGAAGAGCUUGGGUCAUGAGGUUCAAUCAUUGGGGACUGAGUGUCUUAAAUGAGGGGUAUUAUUUUAGGUAGAAAAUGGAAUGAAGAUGGAAAACUUCAAAUUUUGCUUAGCCUACCACAUAAAGUUGGAGGAUUUUGUUGCCUGGCAUGAGUUUGCGUCGAUAUAUUUCUUUGCAAUGACAACUUGGGGUGUAAACGCCGGCAAAGCUGUUAUGAUUAUUACCCAGAAAAGCCUUCAGAUAUUAGCGCAAGAAAAUUCAAUUUCACGUCUGCUAGGGUUACCAAAAGUAAAUUCAUUUUUACGUCUAACAAUAACAUGACAAAAUUUAGCCCCAAUUCAGCUCCUGAAAAGAUAACUCUGGCCUAUUGGCUUUCAGAUAUCAUCAUAACUCGCAAGUAGAAAAGAAGGUUUUGGAUAAUUCAAAGCUAUCGUAUAACUUCAAUUUCAAGGCAACUACAUUAUGGUAUCUUGAUCACUGGAUUUUUCUGGUACACAAAAUCCUUCCUGCUAAUGGUUUCAAAAGUUUUGCUCUCCUAUAACAUCAAAAUAAGAAAUGCAUUCACUUAAACGGAUCUGUUCUGAGCAUAGAUGAUGAAUGAAUUACAAUCCUCGGGCGUUAAAUCUAAAAUGUCAAAACUUGAU
RNAcentral lists this long non-coding RNA (48435 nucleotides) under Coffea arabica (coffee). RNAcentral's name for it is "long non-coding RNA (CARA_LNC006054)". The record is from RNAcentral. Lineage: Eukaryota; Viridiplantae; Streptophyta; Magnoliopsida; Gentianales; Rubiaceae.